RNAcentral lists this long non-coding RNA (55431 nucleotides) under Nicotiana tabacum (common tobacco). RNAcentral describes it as "long non-coding RNA (NTAB_LNC003963)". Lineage: Eukaryota; Viridiplantae; Streptophyta; Magnoliopsida; Solanales; Solanaceae. The record is from RNAcentral.
CAACAAACACUUUUCAUAAAGUUGUGCAUAAAAUUUGUUACAAGUCCAAUUACUUCGGGGAGACAGCAAAGGACGAUAAGAACUUCAUUUUUUUAUUUUUUUUUGGUUUCUCACUUAGAUGCUCCGUAUUUAUUGAGGUUUCGAUUAAUUCGAAUAUUCGCAUCGUAUGAUUCAUUAAAAAAGAAACCGCUCCCUAAAAAAAUGAAUUCGGAGUCUUUUUAUUAGAAUUUCUGGUUUUAGAUGAUGUAGAAUAAUAGAUAUUAACUCUGUGUAGUAACCUAAUUGGUAACACGUUAAUAACGUAAAUAAUUUACUACAACAAAGUUUAAUGCACUAAUAAUGAAAAAGUGAAAUUUACUAUCAAUAUAUAAGAAUUAAAUCUUUACCUAAGAUAAUUUCUUUACACAUUAGUAUUGUAUUUUAUAAACAUUGAACUUUCUUACCCCUUUUGAACUUCAAUUAAAAUAUUAAGAUAGUUGUUGUGUAUCAUUUCAUAAUAUAUCAUGUUGUAUUGUAUUGUAUAAUUUUAAUGUAUACAAUAUUUGGAUAUAUUAUAUUAUUUCUCGUCAUUUCAUGAUGUCAUGCACCAACAAUAUGAAGAAUAAACUUGUAAUAUUAUAUUUUUUUUAAAAAGAGUAAUGUACGGGGUAAAAUUAUUAUAUAAAAUAAUAGAAUAAAGGAUAAAUAAAAUUAUUUAUAAUAAGGAAGGACAAGAUGAGAAAAAAAAAAUAAGGCAACGAUGCGAACAUACCAAAAUGGUCGUUACAUAAAAUGACAUUCUUGUCGUUUAAUGAUAUCAUGCACCAACAAUAUGAAUAAUAAACUUAUAAUAUUAUAUAUAUAAAGAGUAAGGUACGGGAUAAAAUUAUUAUAUAAUAUAGUAGGAUAAAGGAUAAAAUAAGAUUAUUUAAUAAUAAGGAAGGACAAAAUGAGAGAGAAAAUAAGGUAACGAUGCCACCAUACCAAAACGGUUAUUACAUAAAGUGACAUUCUCAUUGUUUCAUGAUGUCAUGCACCAACAAUAUGAAGAAUAAACUUGUAAUAUUAUAUUUUAAAAAAGAGUAAGGUACAAAGUACAAUUAUUAUAUAAAAUAGUAGGAUAAAGGAUAAAAUAAGAUUAUUUAAUAAUAAGGAAGGAUAAGAUAAGAGAAAAAAAUAAGGUAACGAUGCGAUCAUACCAAAAUGGUCGUUACAUAAAAUGACACUUUUUGUCGUUACGUAACAACAGAUUUAACAAUACAAUACAAUAAAAUUUAUGUAACAAUCAAAAUAAAUAUUAUAUUUAAAAUAUAAUACAGCACAAUACAAUGGUUGUUUGGUAUGAAGUAUAAGGCGGGAUAAGAUGUGAGAUUAAAUUUAUAUCGUAUUUGGUUGGUGACCUAAAUUUAUACCAUCACCCAAACACGUUAUAAAUUUAAUCUAAUACUUAAUCUAUAAUAUCCUAUUUUAUCUCCCAUGUGGUAUAAAUUAGUCUUGGAAUUAAUAUCCCGGGAUAAUUUAGUUCGUUAAGCUAACGACCAGUAACUAAGUUACAACCAUCUCCACACGUGAAAUACUAGUUUUUACUUUCAAAUUCUUAAAUUACUUUUAAACACUCUUUUUCCAUUUCAACUCAAAAGACACAUGCUUCAUUUAUACAUGACUUGUUCAAUUAUUUGUUACUAUUCACGCGCUUUAUUUACCCUACAGUGAAAAAAAAAGAAAAAAGAUAUAGUCCGUAUUUAUCACACUACAAAAUACAGAGUAUACAAUCUCCGUUUUAAACGCAAGGAAAAUGCCAUCUCUUUCCUCUUUUUCUGUUUAAUUAUUUACUCUACUAAAUAUUCCUCUCUAUAUUGCCGGCGAUCUUUUUUCCGGUGAUUUACACGUUUUCCGAUCAUUUCUGUCUAUUUACAGUUUUCAGUCCUGUCUAUUUCCAGCUCUUUUUUUUUUGAUUUUAUACAGUAUUAAUGGUUUCUGAUUGGGAGAAAUGUAGUUGAACUAAAACGGUGUUUUUGGUAUGAGCAGUUAGUUAUUUUUGCGCUUUUUUUUUUCCAUUUAAUUGCUGCUAAUUUAAGCUGAAACCAUAUCUUAUUUUCACUAUUUCUGAGAGGAAUUUCGUAUAAGGUUGUUUUCUGAAUAGUUUAGUUCUUAAAAGAGUGUUUUUGGCGUGCAGUUAGUUAUUUUUUGAGCUUUUUUUAAAAAAGAAAAAUUAUUUUCUGCUAGUUUAAGCUAAAACAUAGAUUAAUUUUCAUUAUUUCAGAGAGGAUUUUCGUAUAAGGUUGUUUUGUGAAUAGUUUAGUUCUUAAAAGAGUGUUUUUGGCGUCCAGUUAGUUAAUUUUUCGGCUGUUUUUGUAAUUUAUUUGCUGCUAUUAAAGCUAAAAUAUAGUUUAAUUUUCACCAUUUCAGAGAGGAAUUUUGUCUUGGGUUGUUUAUCUGAUUAAUUUUGUCAAUGGAUGCUCACAAUUAUCAUGGUUCAGUUAGUGGAAAAAAGAGUAUGGAGUGGGCUUCGAAUGAUUGGAAAUGGGAUGGUGAUUUAUUUACAGCGGCGCGGCGGAAUAAUAAUUCACUGCCAUCAGAUUGUUGUAAGAGCAAACAGUUAAUGUUUCCUAUAGGAUCAGAGAUUCAUCCAGAAGCUAGUAGAAUCUCCAAUUGUUUUUCAUCUGGUUCAGAUGAAUUACUGACAUUAGGAAGUAAUGAUAAAGGGAGGAAAGAAUUGGAGAAAAGGAGGCGGGCGAUCGUCAUUGAAGAUGAUGAACUGGAUCAUGAAGAAGAAGCUGGAUCACUUAAUUUGAAGCUAGGUGGUCAAUUGUAUCCUGUGAUGGAAGGGGAUGAGGAAAAACUGGAAGGGAAGAGUGGUAAGAAGACGAAAAUUGUUGGGGUUUCGUCGAAUCGUGCAGUUUGUUGUCAAGUGCAGGAUUGUCGAGCUGAUUUGAGCAAUGCUAAAGAUUACCAUCGGCGACAUAAAGUGUGUGAUGUGCAUUCUAAAGCUGCUAAAGCUUUGGUGGGCAAUGUUAUGCAGCGAUUUUGUCAGCAGUGCAGUAGGUUAGCUUUCUAGUAGAACAUUUGCAUAUUCAUGUAUAUUUAAAAAAUAAAAUUAUUAUCUCUAGUUCUGUGAACCAUUUAAAUAUGAUAAAAUUAGAUUCUGUGAAAAGUGAAAACUAGAUACAUUGGUUUCUAUUAUCUCUAGUUUUAUGAACCAAGGGAGCCUUGGUGCAACGGUAAGAGUUAUUGCCGUGUGACUAGGUGGUCACGGGUUCAAGCUGUGGAAACAGGUUCGUGCAGAAAUGUAAGAUAAGGUUGUGUACAAUAGAUCCAAUGUGGUCCGACCCAUCCCGGGACGUGCCCAUAGCGGGAGUUUAGUGCACCUGGUUGUACUUUGAUCUCUAGUCUUAUGUACCAGUUAAAAUAUUAUAAAAGUAGAAGUUUUGGAAACCUGAUACAUUGGUUUUUCUUAUACGUAAGAUUAAAUAGAUAACAUUGUCCGUAAUUUAGUCACUGUCUCUGUUUUGAUGUAAUGCCCUAAUAUAGCUCGUGGAAUUGUGUGGUUACCUCAUCUAAAAGGUUGAGGUGUUAGAUAGGGAACACUUUUAUUUAGUUAAUUAUAUCUUCAAGACAUCUACAUUUUCAUACUCUUGGAACAUGUAGUCAUGGAAAAUGGUUAUGGUUUGGUGUUAUGAUUACUUUUGGCAGGUUUCAUGUUCUACAAGAGUUUGAUGAGGGGAAGCGGAGCUGUCGUAGGCGGUUAGCAGGUCAUAACAGGCGAAGAAGAAAAACACAUCCAGAAAAUGUAGCUAAUGGAGCCUCCAUGAAUGAUGAGGGGGGUAUUAACUACUUAUUAAUUAGUCUGCUGAGGAUACUGACCAACGUACAAUGUAAGUUGUUAUCUGUAUUCCAUGCUUUUCCUGCAUGAUAUCUUUGUUUCUUAUGACAGAAGAUGUUCGGCCAGUUAAUUAGGUAAUAGCAUUCUCAUGACGUAGUAAGGUGUGCUUGUAAGUACUUUCGCUGUUAUGGUAACUGGUUAGAUUGCUAUUCUGUAAUCAAGAAGUUUAGAAAGAGAAGAAUGUGUAGUUAUUCUUUGCCUGACAUAGUAUCAACUUGAUGAAUACAAUGAUGUCUAUCCCAUAAGCAGCAUUUCGUCUCUAUGAACCGGGAGUUGUAAGAUAUAACUGAUAGUGGGAAUUGCUUUUUGGAACAGGAGGGUUGUUUUCCUAUACUGUAUUUAGUUUGAAUGGUUGAAACAUCAGGACAGGUUUUUAUUACCUAGUUUGGAUAUUCCGAUUUAUCCUAAAGGCUACACAUGACAUAGGGCAUUGGGUCAGCGAUUAGCAACUAAUAACUGAUGGACAUUAAAAUAGAUCUCGGUGGUUAUUAUUGACUGAUGCUUCUACUGGAACAGUAGCCAUCAAUACUUGUGUACUAUCCAUUGAGGCUGUAUUGUUCAAGUAAUCUAUAGAACUAACCAGAGUAGUUAACUUUUAAUCUGUACGGGAUUGUACAUCAGUUGGAAUAAUUUAUGUAAACUGCAACAAUCGGUGGACUCCAGAAUUUCCAUAAAGAUUAAAUACAUCCGUAGAAGUAGUAGAAAUCAUGUGAAAGUCCACUAGUUCUAUUGUUUUUUUGAGUGAUCUUCGAAAGAGUAGCUGCUGAGAGACCGGUAAGUUUUACUUCAACAUAACGAACUUUAGGGAUAUACAACAGAAGGAUCUGAUGAGUUGAAGCUAUCUUGCCUAUUAAUUCCUUGAACUUGGAAGAAGUUCAUAUAGAUCUUUGAUUUUCUUUUGAAAUCUUCAACUGCAAGUCGCAUUAAUUAAUGUAUAUAAACCAUCAUUAGUCAAAUUUGAGGGCGGGGAUAUCCUGCAUCACAUACUAUUCGCCGUCACUAACGGUGAGGAUCCAGCUCUUUAGGACCUAGACUCGAAUUUUCGUAUCUUUCAAAACAUCAAAGGUGCAAUCCUGUUACGGGUGGAAUUGCGAUUUUAUUCAGUGGUCGAGUGCGCUGGACGACACAACAUUCUCGUUUAAUUGGUACCAUCAAACAGAGACCAGAUUGCUACUAGAGAGAGGAAUUCGUCUGGGUAGAUUGGUUGAACACAGACCUUCCACUGGCAGGCGAUCAUGUUUUCUCUCAUUUGUAUAUUCUUAGGACACGUUUGGUUACAAGUAUUAGGGAAAUAAUCCUUGUAUAAAGAAAAACUAUUAUUGUUAGUACCACUAUUAUUUUGUACCAGAAUCAUUCUAUUGCUUUAGUAAUCCAUGUAUUUAAUCCCUGUAUUAAAAUCUUUGUAUUGAGUUAUCUGCAAACCCAACUACCCCUUACAGUUUAGACUAGCCUAUAAAUUGUUAUGUGACUCAAUUACAAGUCUUCUUUUGUCAUGCUUUGACGAAGUGGUAAUGUAGCUGCUGAAGAAAAGGAGUACUAAAAUUUAGGCUGCUUUGAUCCAUCUUUUCCAUAGUGAAGAAAAGGAGUACUAAAAUUAUGUGACUCAUUCCAUGACUGCAUCUGGUGAGAGUAAUCCAAAACAGAACGAGUUCUAGUUGGAUUAUCUUCAGAGGACUCUUGCUUCUUUAUUGGAAAUUAGGCUUUUCAAAUAACUGUCUUUUGAAGUACCAAGAUUCUGGAGACUUGGAAUUUACUCUGAGAGAGAGAGAGAGACACAAUUGUAUUGCAGGCAUGGUUAAUUCAUUCUCAAUUUCUCAAUGGCUUCUGAUUCAGUUAUUUUUGUGGGGUGUUUGGAAAUGCAUAAAUUUUGUUGAGCAUUGUUAAAAUGUUAAGUGUUAGUGGUAGCAUGUUAGAGUUAGAGUAUUAGGGUUAAUUUUUAAGUUGGAUUGCUCGACAUUGGACAAUAUCAUAUUAAUUUUAGAUGUCUUGUAUUCAUUAAAUCAUCAAGUCAUCAAUGUGUCUCUUCUAUCUCAUGUCUCCUCACAAGGUAUUCAGACCUCUAUGAUAUUGGCUUCUGUCUUGUGGAAUGUGAUCUUCUUAUAUGAGUGGUUAUAGUUUCAAAUUUUCGACCUACUUUGGAAACUUUAAUCAUGGCUGAGACCUUCCUUCCUAGAAGAAAGAAAAGGAAAAGAUGAUUUUGUGCUGAGACUUGAUCCAAGUUAACCUUUAUUAGGCUUAGAACUGAGAACAAGGGAAUUGUUUGAUCACUUUCCUCAUGGAAAAGUGUCGCAUCCUGUGAAAAAUUUCUCAGAUCACGAGCUACUAUGGAGAAAUGCUGAAUGCAGAGAUAAAUAAUCAAAGAAAUAAACAGCACUCAUGAUACUCCAUCAAGAGUUUUGUUAUCUUCGUCAAAUCCCUUUAAACUCAAUAUUCGUUUUGGGUAUGCUAAAUAUAUUAUUAAUUUCUGCAUAAUAUAUCUCCAAUUUAGAAAAACAGUGACGUUGACCUUCCCAACAAGGCUGUUCAUUGACAUAUAGGCUAAAAUUAUUUGGAGGAGUGUAUCUAAUGAAACCACCUAAGUAUUGAAUACUCACCUUUUGAUGACUGCGAUUGCAAGAUUUUGAUGUUUUUUUGUUUGAGAACUCAUUACCAUGUAAAUUAAAUUAAAUCCAGUUCUCUUGGGAGUAUAUAAACAUAUCCACGUUGACAGUGUGUUAGAGGGUAAAUUAACAUAUUGUUUUUGAUGGAAUCUUUUCACUUGAUUAUGACUGAUAAUGUCUCUUGUAAUAUUGAGCUUAGUUUAUGCAGUUGAGAGUCCUAAUUAGCUCAGGGAGUACUUAGUACCGAGUCAGUUUGUCUCUAACAAACUUUUGAGUUCCACAAGAAUCAUGAUAACAUAUAGGCACAUAAAUAGGUACUUAUUUAGAGAUUUUGGUGUAUGUGAACUGGAGGAGUUACUUUCUGGCUUCUUCUCAUUAUGAAAUGCAGCCAAUAGCUCAGAUCAAACUAAAGACCAGGAUCUACUGUCCCAUCUGAUGAGAAACCUAGCUAGUUUGGCUGGUGCAACUAAUGAGAGGAAUACGCCGGGCUUGUUGUCUGCGCCUCCAGAGCAGUGGAAUGCAGGGACAUCUAUGGGGGCUUCAAAAGAGGUCUGCACUAGAUCCAAAUAUUGGUAUUGAACCUUUCUCUCUUCAGCUUCUGAUUGGAUUGAUUUGCAGGAUUCUCUUAAGCCUACUGGGAAUUGUUUGAUACCUGCAUCUGAAGUGACAGAGAAGAGAAUGGGCAGGAGUGAUGUUGAAUAUGGGAUCUCACAAAAUCCUUGUGCUUGGCAGCCUGAUUCUCUUUGUUGCAGAAAAGAGAGCUCACCUAUCAAUGCAAAUGCCUCAGCUAAGGUGAAGCUGAAUAAUAUCGAUUUGAAUAACAUCUAUGAUGAUUCUCAAGAUGGCAAUCAAAAGCUGCAGAAUUCUGAUGCCUCUGCAAACCCAGGGGCUGCAUCUUCUGGCUGUCCUCUAUGGAUAUGUCAUGACCCUCAUAAGCCAAGCCCAGGGACAAGUGGGAAUUCGGGAUCUACCUCAUCCCUUUCACUAUCUAAUUCCAGUGGAGAGGCUCAGGUAUGAGUUUUGUUUUCUAUUGCUGUUUACCAUUGUACUCAUAUGCAAUUUGUUUAGCUGACAGGCAUGUUUUCUGCAGUGCUGGUCUUCAGCUUCUAAUUUGUCCCUAAAAUUUUGAUGAAAUAUCUGGAAAUUGAAAUCCAUAUCUUUAGCAGGCUUGUGUACAUUGUUGUUCUCAUCUAUGCUUUAAACUCGAGUAAGUAAGUAGCUUAAUAAUACUUUCAGCAAUUAGCACUUCUACUUCCCAGCCUUGCUAGGCCUACAACGUUGGCUGACUGUAAUCGUGACUAUGAUUCACUACUUCCACCAAAUAUGGUAGAUUAUGAUGUAAACAUGUCCAAUCUGCCAUGCUAUGUUGGUUGUACAGUCCAUAGAUCCUCCAACGUAUAUGUGCAGACUACCACGAUGUUCCAUAAGUAUGCUCUUCCAAACUAUCAGCCAGACAUUCUGUCAUAGAGGCUGCUAAAUUUACCUGUGCAGAUAUUCAAUUGCCCCGUUUCUCUGUCAUGUGAACUGCGGCUACGAGAUAUGUGGCUCCUAUAUCCUAUAUUUACCAAGGUGUUUUGCAGUAAAAUUCUCUCUUUGAGAAAAUUUGAUUCAGUUGUAUUUUGGUGAUCAAAAAUAUAUUGUUAAUGUUUGGUAAAUAGAUCUUUGAGUUUGAGAUCAAUGUGUUUGUCUCAUAAGGUUACUCUAGGCUGUUUGUCCCUAUAGUGCUAGUCAGAUACUUGAUCUUAGCCAAAAGUCCGAGAAAGAUAUUGUAGUGCUAGUCAGAUACAGAGAAGAAAUUCCUAAUGACUUUGAUUAUUAACACUUGAUGCAUCAAUGGAUAAAGAUGAUUUGUCCAUUAACUACAAAAUUUUGACUAAUUUUCAGAGUCGAACAGAUCGUAUAGUCUUUAAACUCUUUGGGAAAGAUCCUGGUGAUUUUCCUACAGCCUUGCGGAAACAGGUAUUCGGUACUCUUGCUAUAAUAUUCUUCAAUGACAGUGUUCUCAUGUUUCUUUUAUCUCAAUUUGAAACCAAACCUUCUCUAUUCCUGGGCAAUUGCAGAUUCUUGAUUGGUUAUCACACAGUCCUACAGAUAUUGAAAGCUACAUUAAGCCUGGUUGUAUUAUACUAACAAUAUAUCUUCGGAUGGAUAAAUCCAUAUGGGAGGAGGUAAAUUUUUUUAUUCUCAGAAAUGUAAUACUUAAUCUUAUGAGAGGAAGAAGUGGAGCAAUCAAGGUUUUAGGCUUUGUUAUUUAACAAGAAAGGGAAAGGAAACAGAAAACAUAUGGCACAAUGGAUAAUAUUUGGAUAAAAUGAAGCCAAAAAUGAGUGUGAUAUAAACUUGCCUGAUUCUUGAAAUCAGAGAAUUGCUUUAGUUAUCCCCUGUAUUAGCUAUUCACUGUACUUUUCAACAAAAUGAAACUAGCAAAUUAAAUUCCCUCGGACCAUACUUCUUCUCUUUCCUUUUCCUUUACCUUUUCCUGUUCCUGUUCUCUUAAUGUUUUAGCCAAACAAAUAUUGCUCCUAAUUACUUUCCCUUUGCAGCUUUAUUGUGAUCUUAAUUCUAGUUUGAGGAAGCUUCUUAAUGCAUCCGCGGAUUCCUUUUGGCAAACUGGAUGGGUUUAUGCUAGGGUGAAUGAUCGAGUGGCAUUUUUGUUUAAUGGUAUAUUCUCAUCCUUCAUUGUAUCCUUUCUUGAUCUCUCUUUUUCUCGACAAUAACGCCACUGAUAUGAACAUUGAGUCUUUGCUUCUGUACUACAGGGCAGGUUGUUCUGGACACUUCCUUACCAGUUAAAAGCCAUAGGAGCUGUGGGAUAUCAAUUGUCAAACCUAUUGCAGUUUGUGCCUCCGAAAGAGUUCAGUUUUUGGUGAAAGGCGUUAACCUAUCCCGGCCCACUACAAGGUGACUUAAUUAGACAUUUGUUUGAUCCUAAAGACGAUUGCCUUUCCUUUUCCUAUUAGUUUCUGCUUAGCUGGUUAGAGUAUUUUGAGCUGGUUAAUUGAUUCUUUGUUUGUCUCCACUUCCCUUUUAGGUUACUAUGUGCCCUGGAUGGGAAUUACCUGGUCCAGGGUAACUGUAUUGAUAUGAUGGUAGGAGCUGAUUCUUGUAUGGGCCAUGAAGACAUCCAGUCCCUUAGCUUUCCUUGUAUUCUGCCAAAUGUUACUGGCAGAGGGUUCAUUGAGGUGAAGUUAUUUUCUUUUCUUUCCUUAAUGCUUAUUAACUGUUAAUUUAUCUUCUUGUUUUCCCUAUCUUGGAGCAAUCCUGUUUGGUUUAUUAUGAACGGAAUUUGAUGCUCGUUGGUUUACUAAUGACUCUCAGUUUUAUCUUGCAAGUAAAUUUAGUGAAUUACCUCAAUGAAAAGGAUUAACAUUUGGUCUCUGUGUGCAGAGCAAACCUAGACUUGGAUGUCAAAAUAUAAAAUAUAAAUGCAUUCACCAAUCAGGAACAAAAAGAAGAUAUCUAUUUAUUUUUUAACUCAUUGGUACAUGCAAGCUAUUAUAGUAUUAUGUACUAACUUUUUGGUUGAACUCCUUGUUACUAGCCAUGUGUUACUUUUCAUUAGAUCAACAGAUUUUGGUUCAUACUUCAGGUUUAUACUUACCUGAUAAAAUAGAGUAAAAUCUUAUAUCUCCUCUCCUCUUUCUGCAUAAAAAUGACUGUAUUGGAUACACUUUAUUCUACUUCUGAAAUGUAGUGUUUAUUAUCUUUGACUAGGUUGAAGACCAUGGCCUUAGUAGCAACUUUUUCCCAUUUAUAGUUGCAGAGAAAGAUGUUUGCUCUGAGAUUCGUACAUUGGAGAGCAAUAUUGAGGUUGCUGAAAUGGCUGGUGGUUUUCUCCAAGGAACUGAAAACUUGCAAGCCAGGGACCAAGCUCUGGAAUUUUUACAUGAAAUGGGUUGGCUGCUUCAUAGAAGUCAUUUGAAAUUUAGAGUGGGUUCUGGUGUCAACUUGAAUCUCUUCCCUUUUCAGCGAUUCAAGUGGCUUAUAGAAUUCUCCAUUGACCAAGAUUGGUGUGCUGUCGUAAAGAAACUGUUGGAUGUUUUCUUCAAUGGCAUUGUAGAUGUAGGACAACAGUCAUCACUUGACAUUCCCUUGUGGGAGGUUGGCAUCCUUCAUCAAGCCGUGAGGAGAAAGUGCAGAUCCAUGGUAGAAGUCCUAUUGAAAUACCGUCCGCAUGGAGCUUUUGACAAAUCAGGACCACAAAAGCAACAAGAUGAUCGUGACUAUUUAUUUAGACCUGAUGCAGUGGGUCCUGGGGGUUUGACUCCACUUCAUCUUGUUGCUAGUCUUUCUGGCUUUGAGAAUAUUUUGGAUGCAUUAAUUGAUGAUCCAGGACAGGUAUAUCUCCUUUUAUUAUGUGCAUUUUGGUCUGUUGCAUUGGAAACUGACAGUCCCCUCAAUCCACAGAAAGGGGGUGUGCAGGUGGGGUUGGGAGCUUUGGGGGGGGGGGGCUGUGAAGCAUGAUGAGAUCAGCAAUGACCUGCACUUUUUCCUCUUUAUCAGUGUUGAUAUAGUUGCAUUUUGUUCCCGGAUGGCUCUAGAAUACUUAGUAGUUUACUUUUUAGAACAGCUAUUCUGUAUUUUUCUCUGGUUCCCUUGUUUGGAGAGGAAUGAGUUAGUCAGGUAUUUCAAGGAGCUGAUGAUUGAAAUUCUUCAGGUGGGAAUUGAAGCCUGGAAAAGUGCCUGUGACAGUACCGGACUGACACCUAAUGAUUAUGCAUGCUUGCGAGGCCAUUACUCGUAUAUUCAUAUUGUGCAAAAGAAAAUCAGUCAGAAACGAGGUGAUGGGCAUGUUCUCGAUAUCCCUGGUUCGUUGUUGGAUAGCAGUAUCAAGCAGAAACUAUCCGAUGAUCAUAGGUCUGUUAAAGUUGCUAGCUUACAAACUGAGAAGUCUUUAAGGAAACCAAUUCAAACACAUUGCAGACAGUGCGACCAGAAACUCUAUUAUGGAAACUCGGGAUCAUCACUUGCAAUAUACAAACCGGCAAUGCUUUCAAUGGUUGCAAUUGCUGCCAUCUGCGUUUGUGUAGCUUUGCUGUUCAAAAGCUCACCAGAGGUUCUUUACUCGUUCAGACCGUUCAGGUGGGAGCUGCUGAAGUAUGGCUCCAUCUAAAGUAGGUAUAGCCUAAUAUCAUGGUUAUAGAAGAUAGUAUAGAAUACCAUGACUUGUUUUUUCCUUCUGAAUUUAUUGACCGCAAUAUAACUGGAGACUUCCAACUCUUAUGUAUAUUUUAUUUUUUACUAAUUCGUCAUAAAAUAUAUAAGGAGCUCCAAGUACAAGUAGGGAAGUUAUUCUUUUUAUAUGUUGAUGGUAGAACUAGAAUAGAACUGGCCACUGGGAUUGUAGUUGUUGAAGCUGCAGAUCUGAGCCCGAAUAUGUAGUGGAUUAUAAGUAGAUUGCAUUUAUAUUUCAACUAUAUAGAGUACUAAUUUCUUACAUCUAUGGUCUGAGCACAUCAUUUUCCUGCUAAAUUGACUUCUUUGCUUCCAUUUAGGUAAAAUCUGGAUAAGCUGUUACAUUUUUCAUCAACUUGGUUCUUUUUAGCUGUUCUUUGGUCGCCCAAGCCUCCCUUGCAAUUUUUCAUUUUUCUUUGUAUAGUUUUAGUAUAAUUCAUCAUUGUCAAACUUGUCAUUUCUGAUUCAAGAUAGCUAGCAGAUCGACCAAUGGGAAUCGAGACAGCUAAUAAAAAGCUAAGUUGCUCCAACAUGGCAAUUUAGGUGCCAUACUCGUGUCGACCCGACACUAGUAUGGGUGUGGGUAUGGGAUCCGUACCGGAUCUGGUCAAAUAAUUUUGGGUACUUUGACCCCGUCAGACAGAAAAAUUUGAGACGAGAUACAAUUUGAUUCCCGAAAUCAGAACCAAAACUAGGAUAAAUCAAAAGAAAAUAGCAUACUUUAUCUAGGAAAUCAAUCAUUUACUUAUCUACAACUUGAGAAUAAAGAAAUUCACAAUUUACAAGCUAAGUAUUUCACGGAAUUUCUCAUAAUUUAGAGAUAUUUUUAUAUUUUUAUUUUUUUGAAUUAUUUUUAGCCGGAUCCUCCCUCCCGUACCCGUACUAGGAUCCCUAUCCCCGAAUCUUAAAAUUUACAUCUAGAAGGAUUCGACCUCUAGAUCCGCACCUGUGUCGGACACCCGCACCCGUGUCCGAGCAACUUAGAUAAAAAGGGCAGCUCGGUGCGCUAAGCUUCCUCUAUGCGCAGGGUCCUCGGAAAGGCCGGACCACAAGAAUCUAUUGUAAUUUGUACGUAGCCUUACCCUGCAUUUCUGCAAAAUGCUGUUUUCAUUACUCGAACACAUGGCAACAACUUUAUCAGUUACGCCAAGGCUCACUUCAAUCGACUUGAAAGUCUUUAUCUAACAUAUUGAAGGAAUAUUUAUUCUGAAUUUGGUUGAUCUUAAUUGCUGCUUCUAGAAAUAAAAGGGAUGUACUCUAAAAUACCGAUGGAGUACAAGCAUAAAUGCGCAUUCCGUGGAGAAAAAAGAUCAAUACGUAUCUCUCAAGUUUAUAAGGUGAAUCCAUGAGGAAUCAAUAAUAUUCUUUUUUGAGUCUUUCUUAAAUUCAAGUUUUCACUAUUUAUUAUGAGUUUUAAGUAAUAUAAAGAGUCUUACACUAUUGUUAUAGCAGGUUUUAUAUGCCUACUGCCCCCAGCAACUUAUAACAAAAGGCAAAAGAGCUUAUAACCUCAACCAAUAAUACCAAGUAUACUCCACUUAACCAAGAAAGUUAAGAACAAUAUUUCUUAAACCAAGAAUAAAAGAAAUUUAAGAUAUUGAAUAUAGAAAAACAACUGCAUCAGAAUCAAGAUUGAGGCUUGUCCCAUUUGAGAGGCUUAACAACUUCCCAUGUAAAGUCAGGAUCAUCUCUACCAAAAUGACCAUAAGCAGCAGUUUUCAAGAAUCUGUUGUUGCCACCUCUCUUUAAAUCCAAGUCAAUUGACAUCAUACCAGGCCUAAAAUCAAAAUUCUCCUUCACAAUCUUGAGAAUUUCCUUAUCUGGUAUUUUUCCAGUUCCAUAAGUGUCAACAAACACAGACAAAGGUUCCGGCACGCCGAUGGCGUAUGAAACCUGCACAAUGCACCUUCUAGCAAGACCAUUGGCAACAAUGCUUUUUGCAGCUUGUCUUACAAUAUAUGCACCACUUCUAUCAACCUUAGUUGGAUCCUUUCCUGAGAAUGCACCACCCCCGUGAGCACCCCACCCCCCAUAAGUAUCGAUAAUGAUCUUUCGGCCUGUUAGACCAGCAUCACCAUGAGGUCCACCAAUGACAAAUCGGCCCGAAGGGUUAAGGUGGAAUAUGGUGUUCUCAUCAAGAUACUUCUCAGGUAUCACAGGUUUGAUCACAUGUUCUUUGAGAUCACGGGCGAUUUCAUCGUUUGUGACAGUCUCAUCAUGUUGAGUGGAGAUGAGGACAGUAUGGACACGAACCGGAACCAUAGCACCAUUGUCAUUGUAAUACUCAACAGUGACCUGAGUUUUACCAUCAGGUCUGAGCCAAGCACAAGUUCCAUUCUUGCGAACCUCAGUAAGGCGAGCGCCAAGUUUAGUAGCAAGAACAUGGCUAAGGGGCAUCAAUUCAGGGGUUUCAUCAGUGGCAUAACCAAACAUAUGACCCUGAUCACCAGCACCAAUUUCCUCGGGUUUUUUGGUUAAGUGACCAUGAACACCUUGCGCAAUAUCAGGGCUCUGUUGUUCAAUGUUCACAAGAACCUUGCAGUCAUCAGCAUCCAACCCCACAUCAGCGGAUACGAAUCCAAUAGCACGACAUGUAUCACGAACAAUUUUCUCAUAAUCUACAAUGGCUUUGGUGGUGAUCUCACCAAAGACCAUGACCAAAUUGGUCUUAGUACAAGUUUCACAAGCAACUUUGCUUUCAGGAUCCUGAGCAAGACAAGCAUCAAGUACAGCAUCAGAUACUUGGUCACAGAGUUUAUCAGGAUGUCCCUCAUUGACAGAUUCAGAUGUGAACAAGAAUGUCUCCAUUUCUUUAAAGCUGUAUAUAAAAAAUUGGAUGAUAUCAGUAAUUGAGAAGAAUUCAAAAAUCACAAUUGAGUUGAAAAAAGAAAUUUAUCCAGCAUGGUGUUUACCCCAAUUCGAUAAAAACAUACGGUUAUCACCAAACUAUGUUGCAUGGACUCAUCAAAAUGCUAUCGCACCCCUGCCGGAUCCUCCAAAAAACUUUUUGCAGGCUUGACAAAAAGCACUAUUAUUCUCGAUGAUAGUCUUGCUCAUCAAGCACUACUAUUGGAGGAUCCAACACACACCUGGCGAUACUUUCAGAGAGUCGGAGCAACAUAGUCACUAAAUCAUACUUAAUUGAUACACACUGUCACAUCAAUUUGUCAUUUGACAACGGUACAUUCACACCAAACUACAUUAAUAUACAAUGGUAAGUGACAAACUUGAGGUAAGAAUGUGUAUUAAUUAACUAUGGUUAAGAGAUAACCAACAGUUUAUGUAAAGAUACAUAUCAUGUGUCUAUUGGAUUGGUGUAAGCACUAGGGAUGAGUAAGUUAUUCCAUUGAACUAUAGUAUACUGCAAAUGAUCAUAAAAACAGACCCCAAAAAUCCAUGAAUGUAGUGACAGACGUAGUAUCCUAAGUUUUUAACAAAGUAUGAAUACAACAAGUCCAGAGGCGGAGCCAGAAUUUCAAGCUUAUGGGUUCAGGAUUUUAAUCGCCUUAAGUUACUGGGUUCUAAAUUAAUAGUUUAUACAUAUUCAAUGAAUUUUUUAAGAAAAAUACAGGGUUCAAACCAAAGUUACUCGUUCUCGGCACUCUAGCUCCACCCCUGGAGUGUAAUCCCACAAGUGGGGUCUAGGGAGGGCAAUGUGUACGCAGUCCUUACCCUCCCUUGGUAAAGAGGCUAUUUCCGAUGGACUAACAAAGUAUGAAUCUUGAUUGAUAUUACACAUAAAUAAGCUUCAGAUCUAUCUCAAUUCUUGUGUUCUUAAGAUUCCUCUUAAACAUGAAGUUAAAAAAAUAAAAUAAACCCAAGAAUAAGAAUACAUACACUAGACUAAGUUAAAAGCAGCAUCUCACGACCUAAGUUUGGACCAUUUCCGUAAAUUCAAGAACAUAAAAUAUGUGAAUUAGAUCUAAAGGAUUAGCCCAGUACACAAAGACAUUUAUGCAGGAUCACUAGAGUAUAGGGCCACACCCCUAGGGUAUAGUGUAGAUAACCUAUACUAAUGCAAGUAUUUACGUGAAUCAAAUCUAUAAAGAGAAAAAAGAAAAUACUACAAAUAAUUCAAUAGCACUGCAAACACAAAGAACUAAAUGUAGAAAUAGAGAGGGAUAGAGAAAUGAGACCUUAAAGAGUUGGUGCAAAAAGGGAUCUUGUAAAAAUGAGAAUAUAGAGAGGCAAGGAAGUUGGUAAUGAAAGAUGGACAUAUAUAUAUUAAGAAAAUGGGAGUAAUUUUGAUCAUAAUAUGAGGUAGAUUCAUUAUGUAUUUUUACUGGGGUAGUUGGGAUUCUCAUAUUUAUGACUUACCUUAAUUUAGUCAAACUACCUUAAAUAAACAGCUCAACUCCAUAGUAUUAAAGAAUUUAAUACAGAGUUAGUGUCGGUAGACACGGUUUUACUGCUGUCCAAUAAAUCCAGCUCUGUUCAGUCUGGUCCAAUCAUUGUGGUGUCAGUAAUAUGAAUUUAAGUUUGAUUUAUUGUCGGUUAAGGAAGUAUUUAAAUGAUAAAAAAAUUGCUUAAUAUACAUUCUGUAUAUAUCUGUUUUCUAACAAUUGGUUUGGAUGGUUGUUACGUGUCAUUUCAUAAUGUAUCGUAUUGUAUUGUACAGUAUUGUUUAAUUAAUAGAACGUUUGGAUUGAUUGUAUCGUUUACCGUUGUCUCAUGAUGUCACGCACCGACAAUAUGAAGAAUAAACUUGCAAUAUUAUCAAGAAAAAAUAGGAUAUAAAGUAGAAUUAUUCUCUAAAAAAGCAGGAUAAAGAAUAAAAUAUGAUUAUUUAAUAAUAAGGAAGGGCAAGAUGAGAGAAAAAAGUAAGGUAACGAUGUUGCCACACCAAAUCCGUCGUUUCAUUAAGCGACACUUUGUAACGACAAAUUUAACAAUACGAUACAAUAAAAUUUAAGUGACAAUCAAAACAAACAUUAUAUUUAAAAUAACAGUACGAUACAAUAUAAUAAGUAACAACCAUCCAAACAAGCUGUAAGGGAAUUGUACACUUCAAAACAAAUAUUUAUUUAAUAAUCUUUAUCACAACAGUAUUUGCCUAAAAUAUGUUUUAUCUUUAUUAAAAGUCUCCUUUUAUUAAUUAAUACUUCACUAAUUGAGGUAAUAAGUACGAAUUUGAAAUAAAUAAAUGUUUUUAUGUUUUCUGAAAAGCUAAAAAGUUUAAAAGAAAUUAAGUAUAUUUAGAGUGAAGAAGCAUAAUAUAACGUGAAAGUAGAGUGAGCAAUUUGUUGGGGCCAAUGAAAUUAUAUAAAACAUAUGUAAUUAGUUUUUCAGAUCAUUUUUUUUAUAUAGAACAAUUAUAUGUACUGAACUUGCAGUAACCAUAAAACUAGUAUUGUGGUAUGUAAAAUGUUAGAAGGAAUAUGCAAUCAUACACGAUUAGACAAAAUUAAAAAUGGUCACAUUAGACAUAAUAUACAAAUAAUACAAGUAGAGGAUAAAAUGAGAGAGUGCUUAUUAGGAAUGAAAUUAACAAUCAUAAUUGAGUUGUUAAAACAGGAUUAGUUAGAUCGAAAUUUGCAUGGAUAAAAAUUGUGACAGAUUUAUAAUCUCAUGGAAUUCAUAAAAUAUUAAUGAGAAAUAAACCGUACGGGAAGAAUAAAAGUUAUAUAUAAGCGAUUCAAACUAGUUGAAAUUAAUUCUACAAAGCAAAAAAAUAUAUUAGUAACUCAUAUAACUAAAAUCAAUUAAUUUAAAUUGAAGUGUAAUGCUUGUGUUUGACGUGUAAUGGCUUGGUUGGUAGAUGUCUGUGUUUUUUUAGGAAGAAUAAGACUUGGAUUUAGUGGGUAGAAACAAGCUUAGUUAUCAUAUUAAGAGAUGCUAUUCUCGCAUAGAGCUAUAAAGUUGAAACAUCCUUCUCAUGUUGAUGUUGUCUCGUAACAAACCCAUCUUCCCUCCAACAAAUUCAACCUCACCAAAAUCCAACCUACCUAUGUAAUGUUUUAUUGAGGGUUGCGCUGGAGCGAUAAGUACUUUUUUAUUUUUAAUCAAAGGUUCACAUUCAAGCUCUAGGUAUAGAAUUGCAUUUCUUAUUGAAUGUUUAUCUUUCCAACAUGAAUCCAAAUUACUUGUGUUAUGCACGACACUUGAAAUCUGUCUGUGCUCUGCACGAUCACUUGGAACCUAUUUGUUCUGCAAGGUCACUUGGACCUACUUGUGCUCUUCAAGGCUACUUGAAACUUAUCUGUACUUUGCACGAUACUUGGAACCUACAUGUGCUUUGCACAGUCACUUGGAACAUACACGUACUUUAUAUGGUCACUUGGAACCUAUGCAUGCUUUCUACAACCUUUGGAACCUAUUCGUGCUCUGGACGAUCACUUGUAACCUGCCGCUGCUUUGUACAGUCACUUAGAACCUACCUGUACUAUGCACGACAGCUGGAACCUACCCAUAGUGCACAAUACUUAGAACAUACGCGUGUUCUAUACGACACUUGGAACCUACUCAUACUUUGCAUGAUCAGCUAGAACCUACCCGUACUCUAUGUUGGUGUUAUUUUAUAUUUUAUAAUGUAAAGUCAAAAAUUCUUUGUAGUCCCUUUUUCUUCUUUACUUCUUUGUUUUUUGUGAAAGACAAAGUGUCCCUCAUUGCUUGUGAAAAGUCUUUUUCUUCACUUUAUAAUAAAUUACUUUGUUGGGCUUGUAAGGAGCUAGUAAAAGGGAGUGAUCUCGCGCACAUGAGAAGUUGGUCCUGAAGGCAAAACGAGUCGAUCCCCCCCCCCCCCCCCCCCCCGCAUGCGAGAUAUACGUGAGGCCUAAUCUAAGUCUGGUUUUUGCUAAAAUUAUUUCUUCAAUUUUUGAGCUUAUCAUAAAUGUGUCCAAAUACAUGUUUACCAGAAUAUGUCCAAAUUCUUUCUCUUUGAAUUGGAUUUUGUAACGUCCAAUUUAUCAUUUUGUAACAGCCAUGAUUUAAUUCUUGUAACAGAUGUAGUUAAUUGGUAAUGACUCAAUUUUGAUUUCUGUAACAAUGGUGGGCUCUCAAUGUCUUUAUCUUAUGUUUCUUAUGUUUUGAUGAUCUAACAAACUUAGUGUUAAAGAACCAGAUAGAGAACCUGACUCACUUGGUACACAUCUCAAAUGAACAAAGUUCAGUCUGAUAUUCAGCAAAUGAACUACUACAAAUAGGAACACAACAGGGACCUGAUCCCUUGGAGUUCUCUUAUAGAAGUACAAGUCAACAACAGCUGGAACGCAAAUGCAAAAAGUGACUGUCUGCAUACUGUACACGCGACAGUGUAGCAGAUAGUGCGGUAGUCAUUUCUUAUUGGGAAGAAGCGUGUAUCAAGAAUUGACAUCACCAUUAUGAUGUCUUUGGUAGUAUAACAACCUGGUACAAGGCACAAUACAUUUACUUGAGCAUUUUAGUGAUAUUCUCUCAAGCAGAAAAGUGUUCAUCCAGUAUUGAAGUCACAAGUGAAUCAAGAACAAGAAGGCAACUCUACUAAAGAAAUCAGUUUCACAAUGAGUCUAUGUGUAUCCGUAGUUGAGUUGUAAUCUUGCUAUUUGUUCUUCAUUGUAACUCCUAUCUGGCUUUCUUAGAAGCUGUGUUUUAGGAAACCCUCUUGUAAAAUCACUAAACUCUCUGAGUUUAUGUUGUGACUAGGUCUNNNNNNNNNNNNNNNNNNNNNNNNNUUAGUUAAGUUGAAUUCUUUGUAAUAGAGUCAUUACAAAGUGACUUGUAAUAGGUGUUUACAGGUUAGUAAAGUUGAAAGCCUACAAGUGUAAGUCGUGGUUUUUGUCCCCUUGAGUGGGAUUUUUCCACGUAAAAAUCUGUGUCUCCUUUAUUUACUGCUUCAUAAGUAUUCUCAAUAGAAACUCAUAGAGGAUCAGGUGCUCUAUAGUUUGGUGGACUCAUAUAAGCUAACAAACAACUAUAGAUUAAUUUCUUCAUCUGUAACUAUUCAACAGCUUUGCCUACAAAAAACAAUCUUCUUUGUGAAUAAUCUUACAUAGAAAACACACCUUCAUCUCUCUUUUUCAAACGAUUUCUGGGCAAUUAUUUUGUGUAAAUUCCAAACUUCCAGUCACGAGUGCACGUGUUUGGAGGUGUUGUGGAACAUUGGAGAGCGACCGGUCUUAACGAUUUGUAAUCGCUUUCAAGGCAGUGGCUUGCCAUGACACAAUAUUUUUGAUAAAUUGUUCUUCUUUCCUUCUUGUUCUUAGUCAAUAUUAUCUACUCAUUUUUCUUAUAAUAUGAAAGCGAUUUAAUAUACAAUAUUGACAAAUGGCUACCAGUUUGAAUAAAACACUUCCUGAUCUAUCAAAACUUGGGCCUUUAGAUGGAAACAAUUAUAAGUGUUGGUCUUAGAAAUUUUUAAUUUACUUUGAACAAUUAGAAGUUGAUUAUGUUUUGUUUAAUGAACCAUCUGCUGAUGUUGUUGCUGUUAGUUCUAACACUGCUGCUACUGUUGUUCCUGAUGAUGUUGUUAAAAAGAAAUUUGAAAAGGAUAAUAAAAUUGUUCGAGGGCAUCUGCUUAACCAUAUGACUAACCCUCUCUUUGAUUUGUUUAUAAAUUAUAAAUCUGCUAAAGUCAUAUGGAAGAGUUUGGAGAAGAAAUAUGGUGCAUAUGACACCGAAAAAAAGUAUGUCGUUGGUAAGUGGAUCAAGUUUAAGAUGGUUGACGAUAAGCCAAUCAUGGAGCAGGUUCACGAGUAUGAAAACUUGACUGCUGAUGUUUUGAACAAAGUCAUGGAGAUGUGUGAGAUUCUUCGGGCUAAUGUUCUGCUUGAAAAUUUUCCACCUUCCUAGAGUGAUUACAGGAAUCAACUGAAACACAAGAAGAAAACUUUAACUCUUCAAGAACUGAUCAAUCACAUGAGGACUGAGGAAGCAAACCGUCUCAAAGAUAAGGAGUCUGAAUGGCUUAAGGAUAAGAUGAAUUCUCUCUCUCUUAAUUCUUCUAAAGCUAACCUUGUAGAAUCUUCUCAUACUUUUGUGAAAGACAGGUUUAAAGGAAAACAAAAGAAAGGUCAGAAGAAAGUAUAUGUGAAGAAGCAGAGUUACUUCAAUAAACUGGAGGGCCAUAUUUAAAAGUCGAAAAGACCAUGCUAUGUCUGCGGCAAAAUUGGCCACAAGGCUUUUCAGUGCAACCAAACACAAGGACUAAGCUCAAAGAAUGGAGGAAAAGCUCCAGUCCAAGCUAACCUUAAUGAGGGUGGUGAUGUCAUUGCUGCUGUGGUUGUUGAGGCAAACAUGAUGGCUAACAAGACUGACUGGAUACUGGACACAUGCGCUUCAAGGCACCUUUGCGCCAACAAGGAGCUGUUUCACAAUUUUGAAGAAUCUGCUGAUGGCGAGUGUGUCUACAUGGGUAACUCCACUACAACUGGAGUAAUGAGUAAAGGAAAAAUUCUCCUUAAGUUAACUUUUGGAAAAACCUUAGCCUUGAACAAUGUUCUGUAUGUAUCCUCCUUUUGUAGAAACUUAAUUUCUGGUGCGCUUCUCAAUAAAGCAGGUCUUAAACUUGUUUUUGAAUCUGAUAAAAUUGUUAUUUCUCGUGGGGAGACUUUGUUGGGAAGGGUUACCUUAGUGGGAGUUUAUUUGUACUGAAUAUCACUCAAGAGAUUACUAAUAAUGCUAGUAUUUUCAAUUCUGCUUAUAUUGUUGAGUCUAUUAAUUUGUGGCAUAGUAGACUAGAUCAUGUUAAUAUUGCUUCUAUUAAGAGACUUGGAAAAAUAGAAUUAAUUCCUACAGUUAAUGUUAUAACUUUUCUAAGUGUCUUGUUUGUGUAGAAGCAAAACAUACCAAAAAGCCUUUUAAGAAUGUAACUAGUAGAAAAAUAGAAUUUCUUGAACUAGUGCAUUCAGACUUGGCAGAUUUCAAAAACACUGUUAGUAAAAGUGGAAAGAAAUACUACACCACCUUUGUAAAUGACUUUUCUAUAUACACUAAGGUAUAUCUUCUUAAGUCAAAAGAUGAGACUGAAAAUAUGUUUCUGAAAUACAAGGCAGAAGUCAAAAAUCAAUUAGAUAGAAAAAUCAAGAGACUUAUGUCUGACAGGGGUGGUGAAUAUAGUACUAAUAUUCUAAAAGCCUUUUGUAAGAAAAAUGAUAUUAUACAUGAGGUUAGUGCUCCCUAUACUCCCCAACAAAAUGGUGUAGCCGAACGGAAAAAUAGAACCCUUAAGGAAAUGAUAAGUUCUAUGCUUUUGAGUUCGGGUUUAUCUGAUAAUAUGUGGGGGGAAGCUGUUUUAUUUGCAUGCUAUGUUCUUAAUAAAGUCCCUCAUACAAAAUUGGAUAAAAUUCCGUAUGAGUUAUGGAAAGGGUUUUCCCCUAACUUGAAAAUUCUGAAAGUGUGGGAGUGUUUGGCUAAGGUUGGUCUACCUGAUUUUAAACAAGUAAUUGUUUGACCCAAGACUUUUGAUGCUAUUCUGAUUGGUUAUGCUUAAAAUAGUGCUGCAUAUAGAUUUAUGUCUUUGAAUGAUAGUUCUAUUUGUGAAUUUAGAGAUGCAGAAUUUUUUGAGCAUGUUUUUCCAUUGAAAACUGAUAUGCCUAGUGAUGUGCCUAAUAAUGCUUCUACAUCUAUGUCUGUUAUUUCUCAUAUUGUGUCUUCUUCUAGUGUUACUGCUAAUGAGCAUAAAAAUGAACUUAGAAGGAGUAAGAGGCGUAGAAUUGAAGCUAACUUUGGUCCUGAUUUUAUUACUACUUUCUUGACUGAAAAUAUUGAUCUUGAUGUUUUGAGUGAUGAAUUAGUGUUAAUCUAUUUAAUAGAAGAAGACCCUAAGACAUAUAGUGAAGCAAUGGGGUCAAUAGAUGCUAGUUUUUAGAAAUAGACCAUUAAAAGUGAAUUAGACUCUAUAGUUUCUAAUCACACUUGAGACUUGUCUGAUUUGCCUAAAGGUUGUAAACCCAUAAGUAGCAAGUGGAUAUUUAAGAAGAAAUUGAGACCUGAUGGUACAAUUGAGAAAUAUAAGGCUAGACUUGUUAUUAGGGGUUUUAACCAAAAGAAAAACAUUGAUUACUUUGACACUUAUUCUCUUGUGACUAAGAUGGCGACUACUAGAACUCUUGUUGUUUUAGCCACUAUUCAUAAUUUAGUGAUACAUCAAAUGGAUGUUAAAACGGCUUUCCUAAAUUAUGAUUUAGAGGAAGAGAUCUAUAUGUCUUAACCUGAGGGAUUUGUGAUCCAAGGAUAGGAGAAUAAAGUAUGCAAAUUGAGAAAAUCUUUGUAUGGUCUAAAGUAGGCACCUAAGCAAUGGUAUGAAAAGUUUAAUAGCACAUUGGUGGGUAAUAGUUUUGUUGUUAAUGCAUCUGAUACUUAUGUUUAUUCCAAGAUGAUAAGAUCAGAUUGUGUUAUUAUAUGUCUGUAUGUGGAUGACAUGUUAAUCUUGGCCCUAAUGUGAAUGUUGUUAAUGAGACUAAGAAUUCUGUGUCUUCUAAAUUUGAAACAAAAGAUCUUGGAGCAGCAGAUGUGAUUUUAGGGAUUAAAAUUAAAAGAAUUUCUAAUGGUUUUUCGUUAUCCCAGUCUCAUUAUAUUGAAAAGGUUUAAUUGUUUUGAUGUAGCACCUGUGAGAACUCCUUAUGAUCCUAGCACACACUUGAGAAAGAAUAAGGAAUCUAGUAUUUCUCAAACUGAAUAUGCUAAGAUAAUUAGUAGUGUAAUGUUUCUCAUGAAUUAUACACGACCAGAUAUUGCUUAUGUUGUUAGUAGAUUGAGUAGAUAUACUCACAAUCCCAGUAGUGAACUUUGGAAUGUUGUUCAUCGUUUGUUAAGGUAUUUGAGAGGUAUUAUAGAUUGGUGUUUGCAUUUUAAUAAUUUUUUUUUGUUUUAGAAGGAUUUUAUGAUGCAAAUUGGGUUACUGACAAUGAUGAAGUUAGCUCCACUAGUGGCUAUGUAUUUACUUUGGGUGCAGGUGCUAUUUCGUGGAAGUCUUCAAAACUGACUUGUAUAGCACGAUCUACUAUGGAGUCUGAAUUCAUUGCUCUUAGAUUGGCAGGCAAGAAGUUGAGUGGUUGAGAAACUUAUUGGCAAACAUGACUUAGUGGGGAAGACAAGCUUCACUAGUUUCUCUACACCGUGACUCACAUGCGGUAAUUGAGAUUGCCAAAAAUAGUGUGUACAACGAAGAAAAAGACAUAUCCGCAUAAGACAUGGUGCGGUAAAACAAUUGUUGAAACAUGGUGUUAUUUCCUUGGAAUAUGUAAGAUCCAAAAAAAUUUGGCGGAUUCUUUAACCAAAAGUUUGGCAAGGAAAGUUAUCCUUGAAACGUCGAGGGGGAUUGGGUUAAAGCCCAUGGAUUGAGAAAGUAUGGUGGAUACCCAUCUGUAGUCAAACGAAGCCAUAUGAGACCUCAAUAUGCACUACAUUUUCCAUUCUUAUGGCGUGCGGUAGUGCUUUAUAAGGUUGAGCUUAUUUUGUUCUUAAUGAUUCUAUAGCCUUAAGGUGGUCUAUGUGUAGAUAAACUUGAUGGAAUCACCUAUGUAAGUGUAAAGGUGCAGUCGCCUUUUAUGAAAGACUUGGGAUGUCUUUCUAGAACACUCAUGAGACCCAAGGUACGUGCAUGACCAUAAAAGCACUUUGUUAGUAUCGCGGAGUUUAAAUAGAAUUAAGGAUAUAGUAUCUGUUGUGGGGUCUCUACUAAUGUCCAUUCAGUUCAAUAGUAUUUCACUUUUUGGAUAUUAGUUGUUGUCUCACUUCACUACGUGUCAAUUCAAAUCGAAAGAUAUUGACACUUAAGUAUAUGUUCCUUCUUUUGCCCAGAAUUACUCUUAUUCUAUUUUGUUUUUGCAUUAGUGGGGGAUUGUUGGCAUUAUUUUAUAUUUUAUAAUGCAACGUCAAAUAUUUCUUUAUACAUAACAUAUGAAAAGACAAAGUGUCCCUUAUUGGUUGUGGAAAGUCUUUUUUUUUCACUUUAUAAUGAAUUACUCUUUGUUGGGCUUGUAAAGAACUAGUAAAAGGGAGCGGUCUUGCGUACAUGAGAAGUUGAUCCUGAAGGCAAAAUGGGUCGAUUUGCACCCCCCCCUCUUUCUUUCGCGCGAGAUAUACGUGAGGCCUAAUCCAAGUCUGAUUUUUGCUAAAAUUAUUUCUUUAAUUUUUGAGCUUAUCAGAAAAGUGUCCAAAUAUAUGCUUAUCAGAAUAUGUCCAAAUUCUUUCUCUUUGAAUUGGAUUUUGUAACGUCCAAUUUAUUAUUUUGUAACAACCAUGAUUUAAUUCUCGUAACAGCUGUAGUUAAUUGGGUAACGACUCAAUUUUAUUUUCUAUAAUAACUACAGAUUAAUUUUAUCAUCUGUAACUGUUCAACAACUUUACCUACAAAAGGCAGUCUUCUUUGUGAAUAAUCUGACAUAGAAAACACAUUUUCAUCUCUCUUUUUCAAAGAAUUUUCCGGCAAUUGUUUUGCGCAAAUUCCAAACUUCCAGCCAUAAGUGCACGUGUUUGGAGGUGUUGUGGAACUUUGGGGAGCGACCGAUCUUUAUAAUUUGCAAUCGCUUUCAAGGUAGUGACUUGCCACGACACAGUAUUUUUGAUAAAUUGUAACACAGUAUUUUUGAUAAAUUAUUCUUCUUUCUUUCUUGUUUUCUUAGUCAAUAUUAUCUACUCAUUUUUCUUACACUCUACACAACCAAUUAGAACCUAUCAGUGCUCUGCAUGACCACUUGGAAUCUACCUCGUGCUAUCUAUGGUUUGUAAAGCCAUUUGGAAUCUAUCUAUGCUCACUGUGAUACUUAAAACUUACAUGUGCUUUGCACGAUUAAUUAGAACCUAACCGUGCUCUGCAGGACCACUUGAAAUCUAUUUGUGCUAUGCACGACAUUUGAAAUCUACCUGUGCUAUGCACGACACUUGGAAUCUAUCUGUUCUAUACGAUACUUGAAAUCUACACGUGUUUUGCACGAUCAUUUGGAACCGAACCGUCUUAAUUUUUUUUAUAUGCAUUACACAUGUUUUUCAUAUGUUUUGUAUCUUAAAAAUUAGGUAAUGGCCAUUAACAUGAGAUAUCGGGUAAAGGUCCUAAUUCAUGCGAUAUUUUGCUCAAACUUAGCUUUACACUCUUUUGUCACAAGAUAGUUAUUUGCGUUAUUUUGGUUUGGGACUCAAAAUGAACCAUCUUUUAUUGUCUUUUUCUUUCCUUCUAUCUGCUGCCAAACUUUUAUUUGGAAUUUAAAAUACAGGGUAUGAAUUUAAUAAUUGAUACAAAAUUAAAUAUCGUUUAAAUAAUAAUGUGAAAAUUGAAUAGUGAAGGUACAUCUUACAACUAUUAACUAUCAAGGACCAUUUAAAGAUGUUUCUCCGAAGAUAAAUGAACACGAAAAAUAUACAUUAAAAGGAAGCCAAUGGAUAAUAAGCCUUUGAAAAAAAUAAAUAGAGAAAAUAACAAAAAAAAUUCCUUAUGUUUGUGGGUUGAUUCGAAUAAUACCUUGAAUAUACUCAUGAGCAUUUUUUUUUAUCCUUUUAAGUUAUUAAAAAUGGUAUUUUUUAUUUUAAUCAAAUGUUUUAAAAACUAGUGUUGUUAGAUUUAACAUGAAAAUAAAAAAAAUAUUUAACUAGAGAAUCAUGAAAAGUCUACUCAAAUCAAGAAAAUGCAACCCUAAAAAUUACGCUACACGUCAAUAAUCAAUCAAAGAUGACAAAAAUUACACUCGACACUAGACGAAAGUAAUAAAAACUGCAAAGCUUUACCUCCAAUGUGAGUUUUUAUUAAAUCUUUCUUUUGUCUAACACAAUCUCUGCUAGUUCUAAUAGUUAAGUAAGAUAAAAAAGAAAUGCUCAUUUUUUUUAAUAAAUUUGAAGGACCAAAAUUACUUAGGAGUUAUUUAACAGAUUACUUUAAUCUUAUCUAGAACAUAAGAGAUUAUUGUCUUUUUUUUUCCUCAAAUAAAUACUCAUUUAGGGGGUGUUUGAAGAAAAAUAUUUUUCGGAAAAUAUUUUCUCAUUUUUCACUGUUUGGUUGCACAAAAUUGUUUGAAAAAUAUUUUCCUAGAUAUCAUAUUUUCCUAAAAUUGGAGGAAAAUGACUUCCCUAGAAAAAAAUUAGGAAAACAAUUUCCAAAAACUCUCCCUCACAUCUAACCCAACCCCCUCCCCCUUCUCUUCCCUACCUUACCUCUCCCGUCCCCCUCUCCCAAAUGGCUUUCUUUUUUUUUUCUUUUCAGAUUUUACAUUUUCUUUCUUUUUCGUCACCACCCAUCCUGCAAAACUCCCUAGAAAAAAAUUUAUUUAUUACCCUUUUUUUGUAUUUUUCAAUUUCCUGUUUUUUUUUUAUUUUUCUGCACCACUCACCUACUCUAACCCCGUCAAUUUAUAGAAUAAGUUAUAUAGAAUAUGGUUUUUUUUUUCAGUUUACAAGUUUGAUAUUUUAUGAGUUCCAAGGUUAUGAGUUCAGAGGAUUAUGUGUUUGGAAGUUUGCGACUUUAGAAAUUAUAGAGUUUACGGGUUCGAAAGUUUAGCGGUCCAGAAGUUUAUGAAAUUUGUGAGUUCGAAAGGUUGUUGAUUCGAAAGUUUAUGGCUUUAUGUUUAUUGUAUCUAAAUUAUUUAUCAAUACUCCUGAGAAAUUAUUUUUCUUAAAUUUGCGUAUCAAACACCGGAAAAUAAUGAUGAAAACCAAGCACAACCCUUAAUAUGUAAGGAAUAGUAAAAAGGAAAAAAAAAUGCAAUUGGAUACUGUAUACGGUAAAAUUUGGACAAUAUCGGUAACAUAUGGCAUCUAGUCAUCUACCUGUACAUGUUGGUCACAAGAUAAUCUCAGCCGUUUAUCUCUUGUCUCGCGGUUCGCUCCGUCUCUUGACCCGCCUCGUAAAUGGGUAACAAUGCUGUAACCGAUGUUACACGAACUCCAAUAUUUUAUUUUCACCUACUGCUGAGUUAAGCUCCCAGUCUGAAUUUCACCCUCCGGCAAAUUCUCCGAUCAGUUUCGCCGCAGCUAAAGGUCAGCAUCCAUUCCUCUCCCGCCGGUAAAAUAUGUGCAUGCACAAUUAAUUUUCUAAACCUUCAUGCAUUUGAAUAUGAAAAAAUAUAUAUCAAUUUGGAGCUGUUGGUUAAUGCCUAUGUAAAUAUUAAAAUUGAAAUGGUUUUAUUAGACUUUUACGGAGGCGGAGGUGGUGUAAAAUUUAGGCGUUUGUUAUUUGAUGGAUUAUGUGCAUUUGUUGUUGAAUAUUGGCGAAUUAAGUACUUAAUUACUGCUUAUUUCCAGUUAAAUUGUACACUGGCUCCCAUUUUUCUUGAACUGUUCUUUUUUUUUGUGUGUGUGUGGUGGGGUGGGGGGGGGGGGUUGGAAAUGUUACUUGGUUGGAAUUGAUUUGGACUAGAAUAAUUAGUCCACCUAAUACUUAUAGUAAUUGAGAUAUUAAUAUAAACAAACAACACUAGGUGGUUUCUUUCUAUCUUCCUAAGCCUUGGUCGAUAGAGUUAUCCGGUACCUCUACUGGUGGGAGAUAGCACAUACCUGGUGGAAUAGUGGAGGUGCGCAUAAGCUGGUUCCCAUGACUGUCAUAAAAAAGAAAAAGAAUAUACGAGUGGAGAAGAAAAAGGUUUUUUGGAGUAUUAAAUAAUGAUGAAGACGAUUGCACCGACUUGAUAUUUUGGUAUUACAACAACAACAAACCUAGUAGUUUCCCACAAGUGGGGUCUGGGGAGGGUAAGUUGUACGCAGCCUUACCCCUACUCCUGGAAGGGCAAAGAGACUGUUUCCCGUGGACCGUCGGCUAGAGAACGACUGAAAAAGAAAAAGUAAUUACAACAAGCAUGAAUAACAGCAAGAUGAAAUAAGAUCGAAUCCAAGAAUGCAGUCAAACUCUAGGUAGUAAUAGCAUUUAUGAAUAAAAGAUAUCAUACUAACACUAAUGCUAGCGAAUUGAGUAAGACAAAGAGAAAUACUCGACUACCUACGGACUUUCUAUCCUAAUCUUUGACCUCCACACCCUCCUGUCUAGGGCCAUGUCCUCAGUCAGCUUCAGUUGCGCCAUGUCCCGCCUAAUAACCACUCCUCAUGACUUCUUAGGCCUACCUCUACCCCUCCUGCUGCCAGCUGAGGCUAGCCGCUCGCACCUUCUAACUGGGUCUUCUAUAAUUCUCCUCUUAACAUGCCCGAACCAUCUCAACCUCGCCUCCCGCAUCUUAUCCUCCACAGGAGCCACUCCCACCUUUUCCCUAAUAACUUCAUUCCUAAUCUUAUCCAACCGGGUAUGCCCACACAUCCACCUCAACAUCCUCAUCUCAGCUACUUUUAGCUUCUGGGUAUGAAAGUUCUUGACCGACCAACACUCUGCUCCAUACAACAUAGUCGAUCUAAUUACAACCUUGUAGAACUUACCUUUAAGUUUCAACGGCACAUUCUUGUCACACAAGACACCAGACUAUUAUUAUAAAUAAUAAUAAUAAUAAUAAUAUUUUGGUAUUAUUAUUAUUGUUGUUGUUUUGUUUUUAUGACGGUGGUGUCUGGGCCAGCUUGCGUGCAUCUGGUAUUAUGCCACGUAGAAAAGCUUUAGGAUUUUCAAGAGAAUGUAACCAAAACUUAAAAAGGUUAAAACUUUCUUUGUAACUAGUAUUUGGGUUUUUAUUACUUGACCCAUACAAGAGGAAAGUCUCAGCAAAUGGUUUUCAGACGGGAGUCCGCCUAUCAAGUGUUUGGUCUGCUACUUCAUUGCAUGUUACUACCUUUCAAACUCUCAGCCCAUUUGAUACUUAGUAAAAAGAAAAACACUGCCGAAAGCUUUUCAUUUUGCUUUAUGAAUCUGGGCUGCACGUUUACUAUGCCUCAAUCCUAUGUAAGUUGAGCUCCGCUAUAUGAAUACUCAGCGUUUGAUUCGAAUGACUCAUUUGUUUUUGGCUGCAGGAUUAUUCACUCUUUCUUUACCCUUGAGUAUCAUUUAUUCAUUUUUACCUGCAAAAGGCCAAGGAAAGCACAGUUUUAUGCUUUUGUUGCGGCACAUAAGAGACAUUGUCUAACUUUGCUCCCUCCAGUUUCACGUUAAAAUGGUAUACAUAUGAACAUUUAAUGUGUAUGGUGCUAUUCCAUUGCUUGUGUUCUUAAUCAUUCUUCGUUUUAUUCUAGUGUGAGUUACCAGAAUAUUCAGAUAGUGAAAAUUCUUCGAAGCCCGAAGGUGUGAGUGGAAUCAUGCCUAAAGUUGAAGAUCCAUAUUGUGAAUUUCCAUCUCUAUACACAUAUACAAGGCCUACAGGGGUAAGGAAAGAAAUAAUGCAUUUAGCUGAUUUUUCCUCCUUGGUAAUAUUUUUGUUGCCAUGUUUUAUUCGAAGUCGACGCAUAUGCUGCCUUGGUAAUAUUGUUUAGCAUCAGGUGGUAGCAUUAAUAUUCAUCACCUCUGUAAUCAUCUUAUUUUUGAUGCUAAUGCAUCUGUAGGACAACAUUGCAAGCUCAUCAGGCAGCAGUGUGAGAUCAUCUCUUCUGGCUAUGGGUUUCAAUGCAUCACUUGUUGACAAAGCAAUUGAGGAAAAUGGUAUGUAGUGGAAAACUAACUUCUGUUUUAAUCUAUUGUGAAAUUGUGUUGGCAAGUUGUUUUGCUACUGAAUUUUGGAGAAAGAAUACCAAGGCUACCACCACCUUAAAAAAAAAAGAAAAAAGUAAAGAAUACCAAGGGUUCCAACUCAUAAAUUUUCUUAAAAGUUUUGGUUGUUAUUACAGUUGAGUAACGUAAGAAGGGAUAUUUUCUUUUCAAUCUAGGUGAAGGCAACAUUGACUUGUUACUGGAGACUCUUGUUGCAAAUUCUGUAAGUAAAUAUUUCUGAUGUGUGGUACUUUUGUUUUUUCUUUGAUGCUGCUCAUUUCUUGCGUUAAAUAAUGCGUCAACAUGUUACUCCUCUUUGUCUAACUGUCAACCACCCUCGAGACCUUUUUACUUCUUUCAACGUAAAACUUCUUAUCAUACAAGUUUUCUAAUCGAUGUUUAUUUCCAGAGAAAAGAAUGAGUGAGUACUUCGUCUAUCAAAGAAGUUGGACAUGUAAAACUUCUAUUUCUAGGGUCCUCCGUGCCUGGUUAGGUAGCUAUUAAGUGCCCCUCUACAGAUGUUUACUUGUGGUAUAAUAAAGUGAGUAGUACUUUCGCAAAAUGUCAGUAAUACUUUCUGUGUCUUAAAUAUUUGCUAAGCUAUUCAUUUUUUCCUUUUUCAAAUCACUAGCAGAAAUAUAGAAUAUGCUGGUCUAUCUCCUUAAUCGAAUGUCUAUCUUUCCCUUUUAGUUUUCCCCAAAAUGUUGUGCAUUCAUUAAAAGGUCAGACAUGUAUACACUAUAAAAGUUACAAGGAGGCCACUUUUGGUCUUCUCAUUUUGUUCUUUAAAAACAAAAGAAGUAUUUAUAGCAAUAAAAAAACAAAAAACAGAUAGGUAUUUCACUGUUCCCACAUGUUCACCAAGCAAAUAAAUGAUUCGCUUCAUUUUUCUCUUAGAAACACCAAUGAAGUCAAAUAUAGUUUUGCUCCUGCUAUUUUCUAUAAUAUUUAUGCUUUCAAGUUCUUUGCUUUUUGGUAUUAUUUUGUGAUACAUUUGAAAUGUAUGAAAAUGAAUAAGAGGACUUAUAAGUAAAAUCAUCUGUGGUUACAGAUUUUUUGCUUCCAGUCAAGGCACAUUUGGGUCCUUCCCGGAGGACCUUUAUACCAUUUCUUCUCACGUUUUCAUAGGACAGCCUAUGCUUCAAAUAGUUGGUUAAUUUUCUCGAGUUUCUUUGAUUUUCCUCUAUUCAAGUUUAUUUCCUGUUAGGUUUGAUAUUAGAAACAAAGUAGAUUUGUUGAUUUCAAUGAAAAUAUAGUUCACUUGCAAAUUGUGCUAAUGAUGGAUGCAAAACAUUGUGCCGCUCAGUUGUAGAUUAUUCCUUAUGCCAUCAUUUGUAUAAUGAUCAUCAGAAUAACCAGAACUGAUGUUGUUGAUGUGUUUAAAUAGGAUCCUCCUAGAGCAGAUUCGUCAGAUUCUCUCGAUAGCUUGUUUGGUGAUGAUGAGGACACAAACAGUUCUGCCAAGUAUGACGGAGAUGUACAUAUAAAAGAGGUGAAGUAAUAUGGUUCUACGUGAUGUGAGUUACGUGCUUCUAUAAAUGUUGGUUACUACUUACUAGGUUAUAAGAAUUAACAAGUAAACUUUCUAAUACAAUUGUGGAGUUUGGUUCGGAUAAAUGGAUAGUCCUCUUGACAUGGAUGCUUUUAUUCCAAGAGAUUCACAGCUUAAAAGUAAUCAGGUUGGAAAAAUUGUUGAAGGUAUAAAGGCAAACAGAUGCAAUUUUUGCUACUGUAUAGGUCAUUUUAAUCAUUUUUGUAGACUGGGGAGGAAGUUUCAUGUACAAUCUAAGAUGGAUAGAAGAGAGAAUCCACUAUCCAGCCAGGAAAAGAACUACAUUAUUAUAAGAGUGGUUCAUGCCAGUGAAAGAAGCAAUGAAAGAAAAGUCUGUUUCUUUAUUCAAAAUCAUUUCUUUGAAUGAAGUUAUAUUGCUCCACUAAAAAAGAAGUGGUUGGCCUUUCUCAACAUGGUGUAUAGAACAGAAAGCCUUUUGGUACAACAGUGGGCUGUUCAUUUAAAUGAUAAAUUGGUCAUUGCUAAUGAAUAUCGUUGUUUCAAUAGCAAUGUGUACCCCAACUUUUCACACUGAUGCAUAUUAGAUGUAGAAUAAUCUAUGUACUUCAUGCCCAUGCAUAUUGCUUCAGUCUGUACGCCAUUUUAGGAAUAAAAUCCUAUGCAAUGAAAACUGUGGGUAAUAUGCUUUCAAGCUCUUAGCCUAUGCGUUUUUACAUAAUAUUAAAAUUAAGAAAGAUAAAGAGGAUAUGCGACUUGGGUUGUCUCCUUUUUCUGUUGCAGGAGCCUGAUCCUUGUGGUGGAGUUCAUGAUGACAAGAGAGCAUCUUUAUUAGCAAUGAGUUUCUCUUUGGACGAAGUCGAAUUUGCAAUCGGUAAACUUGGUAUGUGAAAUAGCUGUAGCUUUUUGUGUUUUUCAAAAAUGCUCUAGGAUUUUUCUUGUGGUAUUAUGGUUCUUCUCAUCUCUUAAGCAGAAUCCUCCCAAUCAUGCUGUAUAGCUGAUAGCCAAUUUUGAGCUUGUGUCCGUUAAGCAGAAUCCUCCUAAUCAUGCUAUCUUUGUUGUCUGUUUCUUUUUGCUUUAAAUAGGCAAUCACUUAAACUAAAGUACUCCUCAUCCUGCAUGCAGGUGAAGCUGCUCCUGUCAACGAACUAGUUAAUCUAAUCUUUGCUGCUCGAAUCGCUCAAAAUUGUAAAAAAGAUGACGGUGAUGAUUCUGUUGUUGAGAUUAAAGAAUGGAUCAAGGUUAGUGAUUUAUGUUCAACUCUUUUUUGAGCAUUUGGUAGGAGAAAAAACUAUGGAGCAUAAGAAGAGUACAAGAAAGGUGGACAAGCUAAUAUGCUGAAGUUACAUUAACUGAACAGAUCACUCAAUCUAGCUGUAGAUCUACCAAAGAGAUGUAUUUGAAUAAUCAUAUAGCUCACCUUAUGGAAAAAUGAUCCUUUGAAUCAUCUGUCUUUAAAAAUUAUUAUAGGAGGCUUUUUGUCAUGUACCUGGAGCAAAGAUUGCACUUGCAAAUAUUUAAUUGCUUCAUAUAACUGUUUUAUACCCCUUUCCUUCUUUCUGACUUGAAUGUGAUUUAAGAAUGGAUUAUUUGCUAUAACUAACCUGCUCCAUACUAUAUGAGCCCAAAUGUCUUAUUUCCUACCAUUGAUCAAGUGGCAUGUGCUAUUAAUAUCAACUUUGUUGUCUAGGAAUGCAGCACCGAGGCUAUGUUUAAGAUCAUGGAGAAGACGUUAAAAUUGCUUGACAUGGGUUUCUCUGAGAAUGAAGUUUCUGCAGUUAUUGAGAAGUAUGGUGAGCAAAUUAUCUCUUUGCUAGUGUCUAUUCCACCAGUAACUAUUUGCCUCUUGAAAUUGUAGUGUUUCUACUGCAGCCUUUCUUAUUUGGUAAAUUAUUUCCUUACUGUCUUUAAGCUCUCUUUUUCAGCCAGGGUUUUAAACAGAUGCUUCAUUUAGCUUUCAUAUUCUGCCUUUUAGGUUCUGAAGUUCCUCUUGAAGAGCUUGCAAAUUCAAUAAUAGAUCCUAGUAGUGGAAGAAUGGACAAGGUAAUGUCUCCUUUUCUCUUUUCGUAGUGCCAUAAAACUUGCAAUUAUGGUAAUUUCUUAUUUGUUGAUCCAAUAGCUUGUUUCAAUUGUUUUGGGACCAAAAAUAGGACAACGGUGGAGCAAAGAGGUUUCAAGCAAUUGCGACAACCAUCUUAUAGCCUUUCCUAAGUGAAACUCCCUGAUGGUGUGGUUGCAGCUGUAGUUCACCAUUAGCUAUUACGGAAUUCUUGGGGAUGAUUAUUCUUCAUUAUUUGCACGAAGCAUUAUGUUAGAAUUGAUACCUGGGCUACCAUUUUGCUCAUCAAAGAUGUCAACUAUUAACAUGCUCUGGUCCUUUUUCUCUAGUGUGAUCUCUGAUGCUUAAAGUUGUGAAGACACUAGUACAACUAGAUUAAUUUAGAUAAACUACUGUAUUUUUUCAAAUGACAUAUAGAUGUUCUCCUAUUUUUGUUAUGAUACUUUUUGUUUAUCUGAGAUCUUAUUUCCUUAUAAGUGUGCUUCUGUUUGAGAAUACUGUAACUUUAUUUUGUUUUUUACUUGUUUGCAGCAUCUCUUAAACUCUCUCAGCAGGAAUGGUUCGAUUGGAUUUCAUCCACUAGCUGUUAAGAAAGAGGAAUGUGAUGUGGAUACCUCUGAAUCUAGAGAACUUAACAUACUGGAAAAGCUUAAAGGGAAACGGCCAAAGGAGAACUAUAUUGAUGAGAUAAACACUUUAAAAAGGCCGAAACCAGAAUAUGAUGAAGCCUUUGGCAGUUCUCUUGGCCCUGCAUGGCAAGAAAUGACCAGUAGAAACUUAGGGCCAUUCAAUGCCACGAGGACUCCAGUUUCUCGAAGAGCAAUUCACCAAAGAUCAAGAGUGCUGGAUUGCCAAGAGACACCGAAAUUGUCUAUGCCCAAAUCAUGCAGGACCCUUGAUAAGGAGGCGGCUAAAGCUCCCUAUUUCUUUUAUGGGAAUGUAAUGAACUUAUCUCAUGACUCUUGGGUAAGAAUCUCUCAGUUUUUGCAUGCCAUUGAACCAGAAUUUGUUAAUACUCAACUUUUCUCAGCUUUGAGUCGUAAAGAAGGUUAUGUACAUAAUCUUCCUACUGAAAAGCGAUUUCACAUUGUUCCAAAACCACCAAUGACGAUUCAAGAAAUAGUUCCUAAUAGCAAAAAAUGGUGGCCAUCAUGGGAUACCAGGCAACACUUGAGCUGCAUCAAUUCUGAGACAUCUUGUGUACCUCAGCUAUGUGAUAGGCUUGAAAGAACAGUUAGUGAUUCCCAGGGGUUUCCUGCGGUUGACAGACAAAGAGAUAUCCUCCACCAUUGCCAGAUAUUGAAUCUAGUGUGGGUUGGCCGCUACAAAAUGGCACCUGUAGCACCAGAACAAAUAGAACGCAUUCUUGGCUACCCAGAAAAUCACACCCGAAAUGCUGGGUUUAGCCUGAUGGAAAGACUUCUGUCACUGAAACAUUGCUUCCAGAUAGAUACAUUGGCUUAUCAUCUCUCUGUAUUGAAGUCUCUGUACCCUGGAGGAUUGACGGUUUUGUCCAUCUUUACUGGAACUGGUGGAGCUGAAAUUGCAUUGCAUCGCCUUGGAAUUCGCUUAAAAGUUGUUGUCUCCGUAGAGGCUUCUGAUAAAAACCGGAGAAUUCUCAAGCAAUGGUGGAGUAGUUCGGGACAAACAGGAGAACUUGUGCAGAUUGAAGACAUUCAGAAGUUGACCAGUAACAAGGUAGAGGUCUUGAUAAAGAAGUUUGGUGGUUUUGAUUUCAUCGUAUGCCAGAGUCCUUGCACAUACUCUUCUAAAGGUAAUUUAUUUGCAGAUACUGAUAGUCAUGCAAGUUUAGAUUUCAUGUUGUUUCACGAGUUUGUGCGUGUCCUACAACGUGUAAGAAAUGCAAUGGGACGGAACUAGUGAGUUCCUUAGCUUUAUUUUGUAGGAACAUAUGGACUGAGCUUAAUAGUAUGUUGUCCUAGUUUAUGACUUCGAAGUUCUAAUAUAUGAAAGCUUAAAUGGAGAACGGUGACUAUUACAUUACUUAGUUUUCAGAUUAUCUAUUUUAGUAGUUGGACGUGCACGUUAUUAUAUUUCGAAUAUAUGUGUGCUAUCUCCGGAUAAGGUAUGCGUACACUCUACCCUCCCUAGUCUCACCUGUAGGACUACACUGGGUAUGUUGUUGUUGUUGUUGUUGGAUGUGUGCUAUUACAGUCAUUCAUGGAUUUCGUCAACUGACUUGAUCAAGGGCGAUUUUUAAGAAGAGGCAUUUGUAUUCAGACAUCUUUAUAAUGCUCUUGUUUGGGCCAUGCACCAAAGCAAUGAGUGUCACAUGUAUUCUUUAUCUAAGGUUUAUUAAUUGUGGUUACGUGAUAACAAUGGCGGAGCCAGGAAUUUCUUAAAGGGUGUUCAAAUUUGAAAGAAGUGAAAAAAAAAUUCCGAUAAAGGGUGUUCAAUAUAAUAUUAUAUACCACUAAAAUCUAAUAUUUUACCUAUAUAUGCAGUGUAAUUUUUCGACGAAGUGUGUUCAAUGUAGCUUUGCCCCUAUCAAAAUUAUUGUGCAUAGACAAAUAUUUGCGUUCCUUCUUCGAACUAGUUUUGGCAUCGUUCUCAACACAUUACAAUCUCGCAUCUUCACACUGUCCUUGUCUUGAAGGUCUGUCAAUGAAGUUACCAAUGAUCCUAUAAGGUCCGUCACAAUUGGAGCUAAAUUUCAACCUUCUCGUGAGUGCUACUGAGAUUUGCACUAUGAGUUGCAAUUUUAAGUUCCCGUCACACACCUUUGGUGGCCCUUUCCCGGCCUUGCGUAAAUACAGGCUGCUUUUAUACGUAAAUACGGGCUGCUUUAUGUAGAUGCGGGACGUUUUGUACACCCAAAUUGUUUUUUUUUUAAUGUCUCCCACAUGAUGCUAUAUUGAGCUACAAAAGGGGUGCACUUGAGCUCCUACCAUUAAGGGGCAAGUGCACAGAUAACCAUUCUUCGGGAUGCUAUUUAGAGAUUAGUCAGUACUUAUUUUGUCCUGAAAUUUUAAACUAAAAAUCUUAAUUUCAGGACAAUUCAGGACAUUUUUAUCCCAAAAAAAUUUGAAAAACUGAAAUUCAAGACGUACUGACUAAUUCCUAAAUAACAACCCUUUAGAGCGGCUAUCUUGUGCCAGUUCUACACCAUUAAGCUAGGCUUAGCCACUAUUUCUUUUAUGUAGGUCAGUUGAAAAAGCUUCUCCUUGGACAAAUAGGAAAUUGUGAAUCAAAAUAAUUAUAACUGUGAACUUAAAUGUGAAUUCAGAAAAUUUCACGGGCUUUUUUCUUCCAUAUCUUUAAUUAUAACAAGAAGCAUACAUCAAUAUUAUUGUGAUAUUGUCAUAAAAGAAAGCGGUUGAGAGAUCACGACACUAAAAUGACUUUUGAUUCCUAAAUUUUAUAGAUUAUUAUUGAAAUUUGUUACCUUCUUUUGAAAAAUUCAUAGCUCAUAAGUGGUAUACUAGUAUAGUUGACUUCCCUUCAACAAAACCUGCUCUUUAAAGUAAUGAAAUAUAUACUAAAGUACAAUCCCAUAAAUGUGAAAUUUAACAUAUCGCUUGAAAAUUGCUGUUUUAGUUUUGCUAAUCACCAAAGACAAAUUGUUUACUUAACACCAAAUAUAGCAUAACCAAAAAUAAACAAAUUAAAAAGAGAUAAAGUAGUUGGAAGAUCUAAGUCGGCAAUUGAUAUACCAUCCAAUAAGAGGUAGAAAUAUGCCACCCAAAAUUGCAAAAAAGACAAGUGUUACCAACUUCUUUUAUUUUCUUGUUUUCUUUUGAAUUCAUAAUUUCUUAGUAUGAACUCCAAAGAUUUUGCUUUGAUCAUAAUAAUUGUUCCGUAACUAAAAUAGUAUUGAGACACCUACAUGGGAAUCACCUCUAUUUCUUAGAGCUAAAUCGACUUCUUGUCAAAUCAUUACAAGUCAGUAGUUAAUUAAGCUGCAUUUACUUACACAUGUUAUUAAUUUAAUAAUAGAGCUUUAUUUUGUUCAUAAUUUAGACCAAUCUAUUGUUAUUAACAACUUGUUUGGAUGGUUGUUACAUGUCAUUUUAUAAGGUAUCGUAUUAUAUUAUACUGCACUGUAUUGAACUGUUUGAUGAAUAUAAUAUUUGGAUAGAUUGUAUUGUUUGCUGUCGUCAGAUGAUGUCACACACCAAUAAUAUGAAAAAUAAACUUACAACAUUACUUUUAAAAAAAGGAUACGACAUAGAAUUAUUAUAUUAAAAUGUAGGGUAAAGGUGUAGAAGUUAGUGGUGAUACAUCUAUCACUUAACAAUGUACAUCUGCUAGUUAUGUGUUAAGUUAAGUAGAGAAGAGUUAGUUGAAUUAGUUAUAUGUCAUUGUCAGUCGGUUAGUAUAUAAAAGAGUAAAGAGUCUGUAAAUACAAAGAGAUUUAUUUUCAUUUUGUCUCUGUACAUCAAAGCUUAUCAAUGGAGCUGUUUCUCUCUCAAUCUUCUCAAAAACUCUCUCUCUCAUUCACCAUGGCUGAGCUAAUCAACAUGGUAUUAGAGCUUUGGUAAUUCGGUCAGCUCAGCUACUACGGAGGAGUAUUAGAGAAGUGUAUCUGCUCUUAGAUCGAGCUAUUUCUUCAUCUGAAAAGUUCCUCUGCAACCUAGGGUUUCUGGAACUUGUUAAUUUCAGUUGAAUCUCGAUAAAUUACUGUGAAAUUCAUCUCUAAUUGCUUGUUGUGGUUCCAAAUCAGUAACACAACUAAGUUUUCUGAAGAAGAUGAUUCCGUCUCUACUACUUAAGGUGCUACAGCUCCAGCCCCAAAUCUUCAUGACAUUAUCUAGUUCAUCACAAUCAUCCUCUAUACAUUCAUCCAUCAAACAUGCCAUGUUCGGUACUGAUCUCUAUUCAACUUUAAAGAUCUGAAAAUUAUUCAAUUUGGAGUAGAUCUAUGAAAAUUGUAUUGCAUGGCAAAAAAAAAAGCUACACUUUAUUCUCGAUACCUGUAGAAGGGAAAUGUAUGAGCAUAGUCUACACGAACUGUGGGAGAGAUGUAAUGCAAUUGUUCUAGAUUGGAUUAUAAAUGUUGUUUCACCAAAUCUCAUUAGUACUGUGAUUUAUGCAUCUAAUGCACACAAGGUGUGGGAAGAUCUUAAGGAAAUGUUUGAUAAAGUAAACAUCUCUAAAGGCUACUAUCUUCACAAGGAAAUUACUACUUUGACUCAAGAUGUGUCAUCCGUGUCCGUGUACUUCUCCAGACUUAGAGAAUUGUGGGAUGAGUACGAGGCCCUAGAACCUCCUCCCUCUUAUGGUUGUCCCGAGUCUAGAAGACAUGCUGAACAUUACCAGACACAAAAAUUGUACCAAUUUUUGACGGGUUUAAAUGAAUAAUUUGAACAUGCUAAAGAUCAAGUUCUUAUGACUCGUCCAUUACCUAACAUCAAUUAGGCAUAUAUAAUUUUGAGAGUCAAAGAAAAAAUGGUGCUGGAAUCACUGUUGGUAUUGGUGUUGAAGUUACUGACCCUACAACCUUGCUGAGCAACAAAACUUCAACAGGAGGUUACAUACAAAAGAACAAUUCUGGCAAGGCCUUGGUUCCAUGUGACUAUUGUAACUACAAGGGACACACCAGGGCAAAUUGCGUCAAAUUGCAUAGUUAUCCAGCAGAUUUUAAAUUUAAGAAAAAUGAGGACUCCAACUACUUAUAGCAACACAUAUGCCAACAAUGUAACUAGUGUAGGUGAUCAAUAUUCAGGGGGUCAACAUUGCUCUCAACCUGGAGUUCCUUCACCAACUCAGUUCUUCACUCCUGAGCAAUACUCUCAGAUUCUGCAGCUUCUCAACAAAGGAAAUGAAGUUGCACUUAUGGCUAAUGUAGCCAAAACUGACACUGCAGGUACCUAUUCUGCCCUGUUGUCUACUCUGGUUGAUACUAACUGGAUAAUAGACACAGGUGCCACUAAUCAUAUGGUACAAAAUAUGGCUUUGCUUAAUAAGUGUUCAGAUAUGCCUAAAGAGUCCAGAAGUAAGGUACUCUUACCUACUGGUGGUCAAAUCUCUAUUAGUAAAUCAGGAGAGUCCUCAAUCUUCCAAGAUAGAACAGUUCACAAUGUCUUAUAUGUUCCAGAGUUUAAGUACAAUCUGUUGUCUGUUUCCAAAAUCACUAAGGAGCUAAGUUGCUUGGUUGCAUUCUUCCCUGACUUCUGUUUAUUUUAGGAGCUCUUCAGCGGGAAGGUAUUAUGGAUUGAUAGAGAAUGGCAUGGUCUCUACAUUCUGCAAGCAAAUGGUCUAGCAUCUUCCUCACACCAGCCAGUGAAUAAAGGGGAUAAGUAUCUGCAUCAUUCACUUGUAAAUACCAUUACUAGUGUGAGAAGGCACGGGAGAAAAUAUGAUAUAUAUUGAUAUUGUGUGUGAUGCAAUACAAGAGGUGCUAUUUAUAGCUACUCUAUACAAAGGGGAUACUAUUCCUAUUCCAAUGUGGGACAAUUACAUAGCUAUCUCUAACAUUUACAUAGCUAUCUCUAACACUCCCCUCAAGCCGGAACAUAUAAAUCAUAUGUACCGAACUUGUUACAUAUAUAAUCAAUGCGAGGACUAGUGAGGGACUUGGUGAAAAUAUCUGCAAGUUGAUCAUUCGAUCUCACAAACUUCGUAGUAAUAUCUCCUGAGAGUAUCUUUUCUCUGACGAAGUGAUAAUCAAUCUCAAUGUGUUUAGUUCUCUCAUGAAACACCGGAUUUGAUACAAUAUGAAGUGCAGCUUGAUUAUCGUACACAAGUUCCAUCCGACUGAUUUCACCAAAUUUCAACUCCUUGAGCAAUUGUUUGGUCCAGAGUAGUUCACAUGUUGCCAUAGCCAUUGCUCGGUAUUCUGCUUCUGCACUAGACCGAGCAACUACAUUCUGUUUCUUACUUUUCUAGGACACCAAAUUUCCUCCUACUAAAACACAAUAUCCAGACGUAGAACGUCUAUGAGAAGGUGAUCCUGCCCAAUCAGCAUCCUAGUACCCAACGAUCUGCUCAUGACCUCGAUCCUCAAAAACAGUAAUCCUUUACCUGGAGCCGAUUUUAUAUACCGGAUAAUGCGAACAACUGCAUCCCAAUGACUAUCACAGGGAGAAUUCAUAAACUGACUUACAACAUUCACAUGAUAAGAAAUGUCGGGCCUAGUCACUGUGAGAUAAUUUAAUUUACCAACCAGUCACCUAUAGCUUGCAGGAUCGCUAAGCGGCUCCCCCUGUCCAGGCAGAAGUUUAGAAUUCGGAUCUAUCGGCGUGUCAAGAGGUCUGCAACCUGUCAUCCAUGUUUCCUCAAGAAUGUCNNNNNNNNNNNNNNNNNNNNNNNNNUAGAUCCUUAGUUUGAAAGCGCUGGAAGAGAUGUUGCUUCAGAUUAGUAAUACCAUCCUGGUCAUUGCCCGUAAUAACAAUAUCAUCAACAUAGACUACCAGAUAAAUACAUAGACUUGAAGCAGAGUUGCAAUAAACACAGAGUGAUCAGCUUCACUACGAGUCAUGCCAAACUCCUGGAUAAUCGUGCUGAACUUACCAAACCAGGCUUGAGGAGACUGCUUUAGACCAUAAAGUGACCGACGCAAGCGACAUACAAGGCCACGAGACUCCCCCUGAGCAAUAAAACCAGGUGGUUGCUCCAUAUAAACCUCAUCCUCAAGAUCACCAUGAAGAAAGGCAUUCUUAAUGUCCAACUGAUAGAGGGGCCAAUGACGAACUGCAACCAUGGAUAGAAAAAGGCGAACUGAUGCCACUUUAGCCACUGGAGAGAAUGUAUCACUGUAAUCUAGCCCAAAUAUUUGAGUGUAUCCUUUGGCAACAAGAUGUGCCUUUAGUCGAUCAAUCUGGCCAUCGGGACCAACUUUGACUGCAUAAACCCAACGACAACCAACGGUAGAUUUACCUGAAGGAAGAGGAACAAGCUCCCAUGUACCACUUGUAUGUAAAGCAGACAUCUCGUCACUCAUAGCCUGUCGCCAUCCUGGAUGAGACAAUGCUUCACCUGUAGACUUAGGGAUGGAAACCAAGGACAAUGAAGAUAUAAAAGCAUAAUGGGGAGAUGACAGACGAUGAUAACUCAAACCAACAUAAUGAGGAUUAGGGUUUAGUGAGGUCCGUAUACCUUUUCGAAGUGCAAUCGGUGUACUAGGAGCAGGAUCCGCAGUAGGAGCCAUGUCAGGUGCAGGACGAGAAUCAGAUGGGCCUGAUGUAGGGCGCAAACGACGAUGAUAAGUCAAGAGUGGUGUUCCUGUGGCUGGGGAACUAGGAGGGAUAACACUGGACUCCUCAAAAGUUGGUAUGGGUGAAACCUCUGUGGUUGAAGGUGGAGGAGGAUUACUAAACUCCUCAAAAGUCGAUAUAGGUAAGACCUCAGAUAUGUCAUGGUGGUCAGCAGAAGUGACAUCAGUUGUGAAGAAAGGUUUAGACUCGAAAAAUGUGACAUCAGCUGACAUAAGGUACCUAUGAAGAUCAUGUGAAUAACAACGAUAUCCCUUCUAAAUACGAGAAUAACCAAGGAAGACACACUUGAGAGCACGGGGAGUUAACUUAUCUUUCCCCGGGGCUAAGUUAUGAACAAAACAUGUGCUCCCAAAAACCCGAGGUGGAAGAGGGUAUAAGGCUGACUGGGGAAACAANNNNNNNNNNNNNNNNNNNNNNNNNNNNNNNNNNNNNNNNNNNNNNNNNNNNNNNNNNNNNNNNNNNNNNNNNNNNNNNNNNNNNNNNNNNNNNNNNNNNNNNNNNNNNNNNNNNNNNNNNNNNNNNNNNNNNNNNNNNNNNNNNNNNNNNNNNNNNNNNNNNNNNNNNNNNNNNNNNNNNNNNNNNNNNNNNNNNNNNNNNNNNNNNNNNNNNNNNNNNNNNNNNNNNNNNNNNNNNNNNNNNNNNNNNNNNNNNNNNNNNNNNNNNNNNNNNNNNNNNNNNNNNNNNNNNNNNNNNNNNNNNNNNNNNNNNNNNNNNNNNNNNNNNNNNNNNNNNNNNNNNNNNNNNNNNNNNNNNNNNNNNNNNNNNNNNNNNNNNNNNNNNNNNNNNNNNNNNNNNNNNNNNNNNNNNNNNNNNNNNNNNNNNNNNNNNNNNNNNNNNNNNNNNNNNNNNNNNNNNNNNNNNNNNNNNNNNNNNNNNNNNNNNNNNNNNNNNNNNNNNNNNNNNNNNNNNNNNNNNNNNNNNNNNNNNNNNNNNNNNNNNNNNNNNNNNNNNNNNNNNNNNNNNNNNNNNNNNNNNNNNNNNNNNNNNNNNNNNNNNNNNNNNNNNNNNNNNNNNNNNNNNNNNNNNNNNNNNNNNNNNNNNNNNNNNNNNNNNNNNNNNNNNNNNNNNNNNNNNNNNNNNNNNNNNNNNNNNNNNNNNNNNNNNNNNNNNNNNNNNNNNNNNNNNNNNNNNNNNNNNNNNNNNNNNNNNNNNNNNNNNNNNNNNNNNNNNNNNNNNNNNNNNNNNNNNNNNNNNNNNNNNNNNNNNNNNNNNNNNNNNNNNNNNNNNNNNNNNNNNNNNNNNNNNNNNNNNNNNNNNNNNNNNNNNNNNNNNNNNNNNNNNNNNNNNNNNNNNNNNNNNNNNNNNNNNNNNNNNNNNNNNNNNNNNNNNNNNNNNNNNNNNNNNNNNNNNNNNNNNNNNNNNNNNNNNNNNNNNNNNNNNNNNNNNNNNNNNNNNNNNCAAAUGAAUUACCAGCAAUAGGAGUGUCAGUCUGGGCAACUGAGGAUACUUGUGGAGAUGUUUGCUUACUUGCUCAAUACUGAAGGAGCUCAUUAUAUUCUUCUUUAGAUACAGAAAAGCCCUGGUUACCUAUAGUCUCGCUCUGAGCAACGUAGGCAUUUUUGGGUGGACGACCAUUUAAGGAAUAACACAUUUCGCGAGUUUGUCCAAGUUUGUGACAAUAAGAACACUUGGGUCUAGAUCUCCCAAAACGACCGUCUCCUCGUCUAUUCUCCAUAGCUUGAGAUGCCCAAACAUCCACUAUCUGGGAUGCAAGAACAGAGGAAUCAAGUAUCUGUGAUGAAAUCACUGGUGACUUGGUGCUGCAGCAAGGCGAAGUAAUCGAGAGAAUAAUUCAUCAACUGUAGGGACAGUCGGACUCGCCAAAAUCUGGUCUCGUACUGAAUCAAGAUCAUGAGGAAGUCCAGUGAGUGUAAGAACUAGAAACAUUUUCUAUCGCUGCUCUUGUUGUUUUGACACACUAGCAGAAACUGGCAUCAAUGUCUCAAAUUCCUCCAUGACUGCUUGUACUUGACCCAAGUAAGUAGACAUAUCUAAUUCUUGCUUCUUUAAGUUUGUCAUCCGUGNNNNNNNNNNNNNNNNNNNNNNNNNNNNNNNNNNNNNNNNNNNNNNNNNNNNNNNNNNNNNNNNNNNNNNNNNNNNNNNNNNNNNNNNNNNNNNNNNNNNNNNNNNNNNNNNNNNNNNNNNNNNNNNNNNNNNNNNNNNNNNNNNNNNNNNNNNNNNNNNNNNNNNNNNNNNNNNNNNNNNNNNNNNNNNNNNNNNNNNNNNNNNNNNNNNNNNNNNNNNNNNNNNNNNNNNNNNNNNNNNNNNNNNNNNNNNNNNNNNNNNNNNNNNNNNNNNNNNNNNNNNNNNNNNNNNNNNNNNNNNNNNNNNNNNNNNNNNNNNNNNNNNNNNNNNNNNNNNNNNNNNNNNNNNNNNNNNNNNNNNNNNNNNNNNNNNNNNNNNNNNNNNNNNNNNNNNNNNNNNNNNNNNNNNNNNNNNNNNNNNNNNNNNNNNNNNNNNNNNNNNNNNNNNNNNNNNNNNNNNNNNNNNNNNNNNNNNNNNNNNNNNNNNNNNNNNNNNNNNNNNNNNNNNNNNNNNNNNNNNNNNNNNNNNNNNNNNNNNNNNNNNNNNNNNNNNNNNNNNNNNNNNNNNNNNNNNNNNNNNNNNNNNNNNNNNNNNNNNNNNNNNNNNNNNNNNNNNNNNNNNNNNNNNNNNNNNNNNNNNNNNNNNNNNNNNNNNNNNNNNNNNNNNNNNNNNNNNNNNNNNNNNNNNNNNNNNNNNNNNNNNNNNNNNNNNNNNNNNNNNNNNNNNNNNNNNNNNNNNNNNNNNNNNNNNNNNNNNNNNNNNNNNNNNNNNNNNNNNNNNNNNNNNNNNNNNNNNNNNNNNNNNNNNNNNNNNNNNNNNNNNNNNNNNNNNNNNNNNNNNNNNNNNNNNNNNNNNNNNNNNNNNNNNNNNNNNNNNNNNNNNNNNNNNNNNNNNNNNNNNNNNNNNNNNNNNNNNNNNNNNNNNNNNNNNNNNNNNNNNNNNNNNNNNNNNNNNNNNNNNNNNNNNNNNNNNNNNNNNNNNNNNNNNNNNNNNNNNNNNNNNNNNNNNNNNNNNNNNNNNNNNNNNNNNNNNNNNNNNNNNNNNNNNNNNNNNNNNNNNNNNNNNNNNNNNNNNNNNNNNNNNNNNNNNNNNNNNNNNNNNNNNNNNNNNNNNNNNNNNNNNNNNNNNNNNNNNNNNNNNNNNNNNNNNNNNNNNNNNNNNNNNNNNNNNNNNNNNNNNNNNNNNNNNNNNNNNNNNNNNNNNNNNNNNNNNNNNNNNNNNNNNNNNNNNNNNNNNNNNNNNNNNNNNNNNNNNNNNNNNNNNNNNNNNNNNNNNNNNNNNNNNNNNNNNNNNNNNNNNNNNNNNNNNNNNNNNNNNNNNNNNNNNNNNNNNNNNNNNNNNNNNNNNNNNNNNNNNNNNNNNNNNNNNNNNNNNNNNNNNNNNNNNNNNNNNNNNNNNNNNNNNNNNNNNNNNNNNNNNNNNNNNNNNNNNNNNNNNNNNNNNNNNNNNNNNNNNNNNNNNNNNNNNNNNNNNNNNNNNNGGGUUUCGGUGACUGAUUUUACUUCCCGGAAUUGCUGGAAUUUAUGCACAACGAUAAAUCUCUCACGAUAGCUCUGAUACCAUGUGAGAAGGCACGAGAGAAAAUAUGAUAUAUAUUGAUAUUGUGUGUGAUACAAUACACGAGGUGCUAUUUAUAGCUACUCUAUACAAAGGGGAUACUACUCCUAUUCCAAUGUGGGAUAAUUACAUAGCUAUCUCUAACAUUUAUAUAGCUAUCUCUAACAACUAGUUCAAGUAAGAAACCUAGUGGUGAUAUAAUGAAUAAGACUUGUGACAAUACUUCUUUGUGGCAUAGAAGAUUAGCCCAUUCUCCUUUGAGAGUAUUGAAAAAUAUUGAUAGUUUAAAAGUUGUACAAUUGAAAGAUCAUCUAUGUACGGUGUGUCCACUUGCCAAACAGUCAAAGUUACCUUUUACUCUCAAUAAUACUUGUUAUGUUCAUCCUUUUGAUCUCGUACAUGUUGAUGUUUGGGGUCCCUAUAGAGUACCUACGCAUGAUGGUAAGAGGUAUUUCCUGACCCUAGCAGAUGAUUUCUUUAGAUAUACCUGGAUUUUCUUAUUGAGUACUAAGGCAGACUCAAUUGUUGUUCUGAUAGAUUUAUUGGUAUUGGUUAGAAAUCAGUUCUGUUGUAAUGUAAAAUGUUUGAGAACUGAUAAUGGAUUUGAGUUUGUCAACAUUCAGAUUAAUUCUCUGUUAAAGGACUUUGGGAUAGUUCGUCAAAGCUCAUGUAUCUACACUCCUCAACAAAAUGGUAUAGUAAAACGAAAGCAUAUGUAUAUUCUAAACAUGGCUCGAGCCUUAAGGUUUCAAGCCUUAAUCCAUUUGAAGUUUUAGGGUGAGUGUGUUUCUACUGCAGUUUACUUGCUGAAUAGCUGCCUAAUGCUCUGUUGAAAGGCAAAUCUCCCUUUGAGAAUUUGUUUCUUCGACCACCCUCCUUGCAUCAUUUGAGAGUGUUUGGUGGCCUAUGUUAUGCUACUAAUAUGAGAAAGACAGAUAAAUUCAGUCCUAGAGCAUUUUUUGCAGUUCACCUUGGGUAUUCAUCUUCCUAGAAAGUCUAUCUUCUCUAUGAUCUCUCUACUCAUCACUUCUUUGUUAGCAUGGAUACUGUGCUUAAGAAAGAUAUCUUUCCUUUUCAACAUCUACAAUCUGGUCAUUCUCCAAUCUUCCCAGUUCUUCAGCUUUCAGCACUGGAUGCUCCUAUCUCAUGUCCUGAAGUUGUGAAGCCCAUAGUAGAGAUUGAAGCUCCUAUGUACGAGAUGCCUUCUCCUACUCAGUCUACUGAUGUACCUAGCACUGCUGCUUCUCAUGCCUCUCUUCCACCUCUCAAAAAGUCUUCCAUAUUGUCCAAACCUCCUAUUUGGAUGAAAGACUAUGUAGUGCACACUAAGCAGUCCACAUGUGCCUAUCCAAUAGUUCAGUAUGUGAACUAUGAUCAAUUGUCUUCUGCUUACAUGAUUUCUGUUGCUACAUAUUUUACUAUUUUUGAGCCCAAGGUCAUUUGAUUAAGCAAACAAGGAUCCACAUUGGGUGAAUGUUAUGAAGGCUGAGAUCUUAUCCUUGGAGGACAAUAAGACUUGGUAUAUUGUUGAUCUACCACUUGAUAAGGUUCCCAUAGGAUGCAAAUGGAUGUUUAAAGUAAAGUACAAGUCUACUGGGAGGUGGAAAGAUACAAAGCAAGACUGGAUGCUAAAGAUUAUAGUCAACAAGAGGGUCUUGACUACAAGGAAACCUUCUCUCUUGUAGCCAAAAUGGUGACUGUCAGAACAGUGGUGGCUCUAGCUGCAGCCUCCAGUUGGUACAUCUUUCAAAUGGAUGUUCACAAUGCCUUUCUACAGGGAGAUCUUGUUAAGGAUGUCUACAUGCAGAUUCCAAAUGGCUUUUCAAGCCAAGGGGAGUCCAAGAAGGUAUGUAAGCUUCACAAGUCUUUGUAUGGCCUCAAGCAAGCAGCUAGGCAAUGGAACUUAAAACUGACAGAGGCCUUGACUGAUAUGGGGUUUGUGCAGUCAUACUAUGAUUAUUCUUUAUUUCCAAAAAGGAAAGAAAGAGAGCUGGUCAUUGUUCUUGUUUAUGUUGAUGACCUCUUGGUCACAGGUAUUCACUUAACACUAAUUCAGCAAGUCAGAAAGGACCUUCAGAACAAGUUCAAGAUGAAGGACUUGGGAGAACUGGAGUAUUUUUUAGGGAUUGAAUUCUCGAGGUUAGCAAACGAAAUUCACAUGUGCUAGAGAAAAUAUGCCCUUGAACUUGUUUCAGAAACAGGGCUAGCAGGGGCUAAACCUGCUGGAACUCAUUUGGAGUUCAAUCACAAACUCACUUCUAUAGAAUUUGACACAGUUGUAAACAAUAAGGCAGAUGCUGAUGAUCAACAACUUAAGGAUAAAGGUGGUUAUUAGAGGAUUAUUGGCAAGCUACUAUACUUAACUAUGAACAGGCCAGACAUAGCAUUUAUAGUUCAAGUACUCAGUCAACAUAUGCAUACACCAAAGCAAUCUCAUUUGAAAGUCGCCAUGAAAGUGGUCAGAUACAUCAAGAAUGUACCUGGACUUGGACUCUUCAUGCCAACCGACAACACUUUGAAGCUAGCAGCCUACUGUGAUUCAAACUAGGGAGCUUGUGUCGAGACACGAAAAUCAGUUACUGGCUAUGUAGUAAAAUUUGGUGAUGCCUUAAUCUCGUAGAAAUCUAAGAAACAAGAAACUGUGUCUAGAAGUUCUGCUGAAAUUGAGUUUAGAAGUAUGGCUACUACUGUAGCAGAAAUUACAUGGUUGAUAGGUCUAUUCAAGGAAUUGGGAAGAGAGGUACCUGUACCAGUUAGGUUGUGUGAUAGUAAAGAUGCCAUUCAUAUUACAGCUAAUCCUAUCUUUUAUAAAAGAACAAAACACAUAGAUAUUGAUUGUCAUUUUGUAAGAAAAAAGAUUCAAGAAGGAAGAUUCAGACUCAACACGUUGGGACUAAAGAACAAAUUGCUGAUCUACUUACAAAGAGCAUGUGCAGACCACAACAUGACUAUAAGAUGGACAAGCUGGAAAUGAAGAGAUUGUAUUCAUCCCUCAGCUUGAGGGGGAGUGUGGAAGUUAGUGGUGAUACAACUGUCACUUAGCAAUGUAUAGUUGUCAGUUAGGUGUUAAGUUAAGUAGAGAAGAGUUAGUUGAAUUAGUUAUAUGUCAUUGUCAGUUAGUCAGUAUAUAAAAGAGUAAAAAGUCUGUAAAUACAAAGAGAUUUAUUAUCAUUUUGUCUCUGUACAGAGCUUAUCAAUAGAGCUAUUUCUCUCUCAAUCUUCUCUGAAAUUCUCUCUUAUUCGCCAUGGCUGACCUAAUCAACAAAAGAAUAAAAUAUAAUUAUUUAAUAGUAAAGAAGGACAAAACGAGAGAAAAAGCAAGGUAACGCGCCACCACACCAAAUUCGUCAUUACAUAAAGUGACACUUUUUAUCGUUAUGUAACGACGAAAUUAAUGAUACGGUACAAUAAAAUUUAAGUAACAAUAAAAAUAAAUAUUGUAUUUGAAGUAACAAUACGAUACAAUACCAUAGGUAAUAACAAAGACUUGUAAUGAGAUGGAUAGGAUCCGUCAAUCCUCAAUCAGAGGGAAACACUUCCACUUUUAAUGGGUCUGACAUGAUAUGAGUCCAGGUAACUUGAGGCUCCAAUACGGAUACCGAGAUGGAGACCAAUUUUUUUUUUCCAAAUUCCAACAUUAAGCUUUCUAUUAUAAAUAGAGUUUUAUUUAAGGUAAAUGUCUAUAUUUUAGAGAGAUUUUAGGGAUUAUUACUUGGUGGCUAAGUCACUUUUUUCCUAUAAAUAGAGGGGUUCUAUUUUAUUGUAAUUCAUCCCAAAUCAAUAAGAAUUCUCUCUCUUUCUUUGCAAUAUUCUCCUUUACUGUUUUAUUUUACGUUAUCAGCACGAGACUCUAUCGUCUCAAGAAGCUUUUUGAGAAGAUUAAGGUAUAACUUUUUUCCUCUUUUAAUUAUGACCGAUAUUAUGAAAAGAAAGUCUGUUGCCCUUGAAAUUUCGGUCAAGAACUAUAUGACAUGGAUGUUGGAUGCUGAAAUCCUUUUAGAUGCAAUGAGUCUUGGAUACGCCAUUAAAGAUAAAAAAAAGUAUCUACCCAAGACUGUGCUAAGGCCUUGAUUUUCUUGCGCCACUACCUUGAUGAAGGAUUGAAAAUAGAAUAUCUCACAGUCAAAGAUCCACUUAUUUUGUGGAAUGGCUUAAAGGAAAAAUAUGACAACUUAAAGUUGGUCACUCUUCCCCAAGCACGAUAUGAUUGGGCUCAUCUGAGGCUCCAGAACUUUAAGUCUGUUUCUGAAUAUAAUUCUGCGAUGUUCAGAAUUACUUCUAAAUUGAAACUUUGUGGAGAUACUAUCACUGACUAUGAUAUGCUUGAAAAACGUUCACAACGUUUCAUGCCUCCAAUAUGGUCUUGCAACAACAGUACCGAGAGAAAUGUUUCAAGAAGUAUUUUGAGUUGAUUUCUCUUCUCCUUAUGGCUGAACGAAACAACGAAUUGCUCAUAAGAAAUCACGAAAAUCGACCCACUGGGUCCACACCAUUGCCUGAAGUGGAUGGGGUGUAUUCUCAUUAUGCUAAGAGUGAAAAAGGUUGUGGCCCUAUUCGUGGUCGUGGUCAUGGCCCUGGACAAGGAAGAAAUUUUCUGGUGUUAAUCACCCCCCAAAGAAAAAUAACCACCAAAAGUGGAAAGGGAAAGAUGAGAAGCCAAAGGCAAAUGGUUCAAAAACUGAAUGUUAUCGUUGCGGUGGAAAAGGACAUUGGGCAAAUAUUUGUCGUACACCAAAAUAUUUGGUUGAGCUUUAUCAAGCAUCUCUAAAGAAUAGACCCUGAAGCUAAUCAUGUCUAUGACAAUGAAUUUGAUAUCACCCACUUGGAUGUGGCAGACUUCUUUGAGCACCCUGAUGGAAACAUAGAUCACUUGAUCGGUGAUGGAUCCGUGGUUAAAGAUGAUUGAGUAGUUUGCUUUUUUAUUUUUUUUAUUUUUGCCUAUUUGUAAUAGCUAGCUAAUAAACAUCAUGUAAUCAUAGUUCAUUACAUGAGUAGUAAUCAUUAGUAUCAAGUAGUAUUAUUUAUUUUAUGAAAUGGUGUUAAUUCGUUUUAAUUAAAUGUGAUAAUAUUAUUUUCAGUAUAUGGUUCAAAGUAAAAUAUUAUUGUUUCCUUAUUACUUGAGGCUUACGAAAGAAUAUUGUUUCUUUUUUCAAGUUUGUGAUUGAGUGGUUAUUAAUUUAUAGCUCAGGACUCACAAGGUUGAAGUGAUCAUACUUGGCUGAAUUGAGUAUUGUCUUCUUUGUGAAUAAUACCAGUCAAAAUUUGCAAAGUUGAUUAUUUUGUCCAGUAGUAUCAAAUCUUGUUAACUUCUUAUUUUUCAUAAUCAUGUUAAUUCAUCGAAUGAAUACUGUUACUUUUAUAAAAAAAUAAAAGAAUAAGAACAGUAUCACGUUAGUAAAACUAGUCCAAAUUGAAUUGGUUUCAAAAAAUACAAUCAUUACGGAAGAAGCAAUUUGAACAAGCAUAAAUAUUUCGUUCAAUUCCACGGUGACUACAACAGUGCUCGUUCAAUAAUAUAUUCGUUCUAUAUUCAUUUUGGUUGGAUCUCUAUUAUUGAUUUAACUUCGUUUUUUUCCUUUUUCUGUGAAAAUACUAGUGUUUAUUCAUAUAUUUCUUUUGUAUGUCAAACCAUGAGAAGCAAAUAUGGAUAUCUCAUAAAGCAAACUUGGGUCAAAGUUUAAUUGUAAAAAUAUUUAUUUAAUUGAUUCAUGUACGACACAUACAAUAUUUAAAAAGAGAAAAUAUUUCUCUCAAUUAAGUAUGUAUAAGACAAAUGUUACUACAAUUUCUGGUAAUAGUAAUCUAAUUGAAGGCUCUAGAAGAGUUACUAUAACUCUGCCUAAGGGAACAAUAUUUAUCAUAGAUAAUGCAAUGUUCUCCUCUAAGUCCAAGAGGAACUUGUUGAGUUUUAAAGAUAUCCGAAAUGGAUAUCAUAUUGAGACAAUAGAUGAGAAUAAUCUUGAAUAUCUUAUCGUUACCAAAAAUGUCUCUAGCCAGAAAAGGGUUACUGAGAAGUUCUCAUCUUUGCCUUAUGGCCUGUAUUGGACAAGAAUUGGUGCAAUUGAGGCACAUUCUAUUGUAACCCAAAAGGUUACUGAUUCAAUACUUUUGUACUUUGGCAUGAUCGAUUGAGACAUCCUGGAUUAAUUAUGAUGGGACGAAUUAUAGAAAACCCAAAUGAGCAUCCAUUAAAGAAUUUAAAGAUUCUUUUAAAUAUUGAAUUUUCUUGCACUUCUUGUUAUCAAGGUAAGUUAAUUAUUAGACCAUCACCAACAAAGAUUGGGAUUGAGCCCCCUGCGUUUUUGGAAAGUAUACAAGGGGACAUAUGCGGACCUCUUCACCCACCGAGUGGGUCAUUUAGAUAUUUUAUGGUCUUAAUAGAUGCAUCUUCUAGAUGGUCUCGUGCGUGCCUAUUGUCAUUUUGGACCUCACUUUUGCAAAAUUAAUGGCAAAAAUAAUUCGAUUAUGGGCGCAAUUCCUCAAUAAUCCAAUUAAGUCUAUUAGACUUGAUAAUGCUGCUGAGUUUUUCCCAAGCAUUUAAUGAUUAUUACUUAUCAAUUAGGAUAAAAGUGGAAAAUCUCGUAGCUCAUGUUCACACUCAAAAUGGUCUUGUAGAGUCUUUGAUUAAAUAUCUGCAAUUGAUAGCAAGACCGUUACUCAUGAAAUAAGGUUACCUACUUCUGUUUGGGGUCAUGCCAUUUUGCAUGCAGCAUUGUUCGUCUCAGGCCGACAAAUUAUCAUAAAUAUUUCCCGUUGCAAUUAGUUUUAGGUCAUGAAUCUAAUAUAUCCCAUUUAAGAAUUGACACUUUUUCCAAAAUUAGGGGGAGAAAUUGUUGAAACCAAACAUAAAUUUUGUGAAAAAAUCCAUCACUGUCUCAUCUUGAUCCACGUGCAUCUAUUUGUAAAAAGAGGUGCAAAAGAUUAUUCAUUUGCAGAGAAUAGCAAAUUAAAUGCCUGGCGCAUUUACGAAUCUAAAAAGAAUAACAAAAUCACAAAUCCCUGCAGAGAAUGUUCCAAUCCGUAUUGAUGUUCCUGUUGGACAAUCUUCUAGUGUCAUAUCUAAUGAGUCAAAAGCAUGCCUAAACGUCGCCGGCCAUUGGGUUCUAAGGAUUGAAAUCCUAGAAAAAGGAAAACAAAUGAUCAAGAUGCACUACGAAAGAGUCUCAUGAAGAAAUCCACGAUUUAACCAAUCCUGAGAUUCAUGAGGAAAUCACUGAGCUUGAGACUCAAGAAAAUAAGGAGCUAUCAAUAAAUCCAAUCGAUAUUGAGACAAAUUUGAAUCGAUUGGAUAUAGUGGUGGAUUAUAUCUUUGCAUAUAAUGUUGCAUCUAGCAUUAUGCAAGAUAGUGAGGAUCUUGAACCUCAAUCUAUUGGUGAAUGUCGACAAAGGCGUGAUUGUCCAAAAUGGCUAGAAGCAAUCCAAUCAAAGUUGAAUUCACUUGCGAAACGUGAAGUUUUUGGGCCCGUAGUCCAAACACCUAAUUGUGUUUAGCCUGUUGGAUAUAAAUGGGUCUUUGUACGCAAGAGGAAUGAGAAAAUAUAAGACACACUUGUUGCGCAAGGAUUUUCAAAAAGGUCGGUGUCGAUUAUGAAGAGACAUAUUCACCUAUUAUGGAUGCUAUAACAUUAUGUUAUCUCAUUAGUUUUGUUGUCUAUGAAAAACUUGACAUGAAUUUAAUGGAUGUGGUUACUGCCUACCUUUAUGGCUCACUUGAUAAUGAGAUAUACAUAAAAAUUUCUGAGGGAUAUAAAAUACUUAACGCACAUAAUUCAAAGUCCCGGGAAAUAUUUUCAAUCAAAUUGCAAAGAUCUUGUAUGGUCUAAAGCAAUCAUGAUGAAUAUGGUAUAAUCGUCUCAGUGAGUAUUUAGUAAAGGAAGGUUAUAUAAAUAAUGACAUUUGUCCAUGUGUUUUUAUAAAGAAAACAACAUCGGAAUUUGUGGUACUUGUCGUAUAUGUCGAUAACAUAAACCUUACUGAAACUCCUACAAAACUCCAAAAGGCAAUUGAUUAUUUAAAGAAGGAAUUUGAGAUGAAAGAUCUCGGAAAGACACAAUUAUAUCUUGGUUUGCAAAUAGAACAUUUGGCAAACGAAAUUUUUGUUCAUCAAUCUACCUACAUAAAAAAGGUAUUGAAACGGUUUUACAUGGAUGAAGCACAUCCGUUAAUUACUCCGAUGAUUGUUCGAUUACUUGAUGUGAAUAAGGAUCCAUUCCGACCUCAAGAAAAGAAUAAGAGCUACUUGGUCCUGAAGUAUCAUAUCUUAGUGUAAUUGGUGCACUAAUAUAUCUUGCUAAUACUACAAGGCCUGACAUAACCUUUUCAGUUAAUGUCUUAGCAAGAUAUAGCUCUGCUCCUACAAGGAGAUAUUAGAUGGAAUCAAACAUAUAUUGCUGUAUCUAAAAGGGACUACCGAUAUGAGCUUAUUUUAUGGCAAUAAUUGUAGUCCUGAUCUUGUUGGUUAUGCCGAUGCUAGGUAUUUAUCCGAUCUACAUAAGGCUCGAUCUCAAACAUGCUAUGUGUUUACCUGUGGAGGCACUGCAAUAUCUUGACGAUCGACUAAGCAAUCAAUCGUGGCUACUUCAUCUAAUCAUGCUGAGAUAAUUGCUAUUCAUGAAGCAAUUCGAGAAUGUGUGUGGUUGAGGUUUAUAAUACAUCUUAUUCGAAACAAAUGUGGUUUGAAGUGUGACAAACUACCCACGAUUUUGUAUGAAGACAAUGCAACAUGCAUAGUCUAAUUGAAGGGAGGAUUCAUAAAAGGAGAUAGGACAAAACACAUUUCACCUAAGUUAUUUUUUACUCAUGAUCUUCAAAAGAAUGGUGAUAUCAAUGUGCAACAAAUUCAUUCAAGUGAUAAUAUAGCUAAUUUGUUCACCAAGUUUCUACCGACGUCAACCUUCAAGAAGCUAGUGUACAAGACUGGGAUACGAAGGCUCAAGGAUGUGAAUUGAUGCUCUUAUCAGGGGGAGUUAAUGCGCGUUGUACUCUUUUUCCUUACAAGGUUUUGUCCCACUAGGUUUUCUUUGCAAGGUUUUUAACGAGGCAACCAAAAGACGUAUUGUUAGAUAUGUGUACUCUUUUUUCUUUACUAGAAUUUUUUUCCACUGGAUUUUAUUUUAGUUAAAGUUUUAACGAGGCACAUUAUCUGUUGAAUAGACAUUCAAGGGGGAGUGUUAUAAAUAGAGUUUUAAAAGAUGAAUGUCUAUAUUUUAGAGAGAUUUUAGGGAUUAUUACUUGGUGGCUAAGUCACUCUUUUCCUAUAAAUAAAGGGGUUUUAUUCGAUUGUAAUUCAUCCCAAAUCAAUAAGAAUACUCUCUUUUUCUUUGCAAUAUUGUUCUUUACUGUUUUAUUUCACUUUCCAAUUUUUUUAAAGAAAAAUAUCUUAAUAUACCAUCUUCCGACAAAAAUAAAAUGUUGACUCGUUUGUAAAUGACUGAAACGGACUCUUGAACUAAUAGGUCGGAGCUGAACUGAACCAAGUUGGAAGAACUAAUAAGUUUGCGAAACUCAAUCCAAAUAGAGCUCCAACACAACUAAAACCUCCAAAUCCAACUUCCCACUAUUUUUCUCAGAUUUCUUUCAUUCUCUGCAGAUCCAGAGGUUCAUUCAAGGCUUAAUUUUUGUGCCUCUUGUUUUUCUAUCUUUCCCACCUUUCCCUUUAACCCCAUUUACUUAAAAUAGUAAACUUUAUUACUUUCUGAAGUUCAUUUACUGUAAAAACAAGAACCCCAAAAAAGAAGAAGCAUAAAGUUAGUCACUUUUCAAUUUUCAAGAUUGUUAUUAGCAUCUGUAUAUCUCUUUUGGGGUUUGUAAAGAUUCAAUUUUUUCAAUUCUUGGGUGUCAAAAAACUAAGUAUUGGAAGGUGGGGAGGGGGGUGGGGAGUUUUGGUGGGAGGGGGGGGGGGGUGAGGUAGGUUAGUGCAAUCUGUAAAGAUUCAAUUUUUACAAUUUUUGGGUGUCAAAAACUAAGUAUUGGAUCCACCUUGUGGGGAGAAGGGGUUGGGGUGGGGGGG